CCAGCUUCAAUGACUCGAGACAGCUCAAUCUGCAGAGACUUUUGGACAACAAAGAUUGAUUAUAACUUAAAUCUCCCCGUAUUCGGAGAUUUCGAAGAUUAGGUAGUCUGCCCAAUAUAUCUUCAGUACAGCAGCAAGGAUGCAAGGCUGAAAUGAAAUUGAGAUUUUCCAGAGAGCCACAGAAUUUUCCUGGAUGCGCAGGAAGUGUGAUUGAGCCAAAAUUUAGAUGCCUGAGUUUGUUCAUCUUCCAAAAUUCAUCUGCUGUAUGAUCUAUAUAGCUAAAGGGCAUGUCUAGGGUGUAGAGGUUCAGAAGAUUGCUUAACAAUGAUGAAGGCAGGCUGUUGAGGGAAGGGAUAUUCAACUUCAAAUAUCUCAAAAGAAAUAAAUUUUCAAUUCCGGAUGGAUACUGGAUGAGAACAAGAGAUCCCAAGUCCAAUACUCUGAGAAGUUUGAACAUUCCACAAAAUUUCUCCCAAUCUAUAGGGUCAAGGUGGCGGGUUUCUGGAGAGCAGCACAACAAAGAAUGCAGUUGCGAGUCAUAAUCAUCUAAGCAAGCAAAAUCACCCUCUCUUUCAACAGCGUUUAACCGUUUGGCUUUUUUUGGUGAUUUACCUUUUGGAUCCAUGAAAGGGGAACAGAUGAAUUCCACCAUAUAAGGAACUGUGUGCAGCACGGGACGCCAACGACCAGGAAUAGAGCAUGUGUUGAUAGUGCCUCCGGCUUUUCUCUUCUUUGCUUCAACAAAGCCUUCCUUGAUAAGUUGUUCCAAGUAACUCUCAGCAGUUGCCUCACUAUUGUCUGGAAUGAAACCUUCAGCUAUCCACAACUGAUAUAACUGCCUGGUGGAUAUCUCUUGGUGUGCGGGAAACACAGAUAAGUAGAUAAAACAAGGUUUCAAGCAAAAAGGUAACAUUAAACAUUUGAUGUACCGAAGCCCAAGGGGUGUCUCCACUGCUUCCCGUAUAUUUUCUUCUAAUGAGAUGCUUCCAUGAUAUAAGAUGAGGAAAGGCCGUCCUUUAUAUGUAGCUCUCAAUGGUCCUCCAGUGGGCACUAAAUCAAGCCGCAUGUUCUCUCCGUCUUCGAACUGAAAUGAGAUGAUGAUCCUAAUGUCAGUGAGUGUUAUUAAUACUCUACUUCCAUUCUGAUUAUCCGGAAGUAUUUCUUGAAUAACAUCCCACAUAUCAAUGCUCCAUACAUCAUCAAUCACAAUCAAAUACCGCUUGGUCAUCAGAUAUUCAUGAAGAAUAAUUUUUUUCAUUUCAUAAUUUUUAUCCAUUAUUUCACUCAACCUAGAUGAAGGCAUCAGAAACUUAAUAACGAUAUCUAAUAUUUGGUCAGCAUCAUAUUCAUUGCUGUAAGGUUCUGUAAUCCAAGCGUGACAAUCAAAAUAAUGCUUCACAUAACUGCUGUUGUAAGCCUCUCCGGCGAAAGCCGUCUUGUCCAACCCAAUGCUAUCAAGUAUGGCCACCACUGAAAGCUGAGGUGGUCCCUCAAUGUUAGAGCAGCUCAUUAUGCUGAACAGAAGAAGGUGAAGACUAAGAUGAAGAAAAUACAGAGCAAGUUACAGGGCAAGUGUGUCAGCAGUGCCAGCUCAGCUAACAGCUCAGCAGAUUAGUUAAAGAUGGUUGUAAGCAUGAUGUGCAUUGUACUGAAGUUAGUUAGCUUUGAUUACAGUUAGUCUUUGGAUUAGUUAAAUGAAGUUACCGUGAUUGCAUUGUAUAUAAACAGGUGAUGCUUUGUAAUUAAAUGUUAAGCAAAAUAAAAAUCAAAGUUUGUUAAGGAAAUAUCUCCAGAAUUAUCAAUUCAUUUUCUUAGUAACCAAACAACUUUAUUUCAUUUUCUUUCAGUGCGGAGAGGCCGAAAAUUUGCUGGAGGGAUACCAAUUAAUUUGGCAGAUUUCUGAAGAGCGAAAUGUGUUUGAUCGGAGGCAUAAACAACCAACUUAGUAAUGUUGUCAAAGCCUCCUCCAAGUUUUUCCAAUGCUUUGUCUCUUGCAGCUGCCAGAGUGCAAACGAGGGAUUCACAAGUGCUUCCGUGCAGGACACCACCACCUGUUCCGGAAAACAAAAAUGAAGAAGGAAGCUUGAGCAUUUUCCCCAUCCAAUCCAUCACAAUGGAUUCGAGUUCAGUUGCUACCGGAGAAGCGAGCCAGUUGAAGCCAACCACGUUGAACCCUGAACAAAGCAUCUCACCAAGAAAGCCAGCAGUGCUUGCAUUUGCUUGGAAAUAACCAAAGAAAUUGGGGCUUUGCCAGUGAGUGAGGCCAGGUAAGAUGCAGUCGGUGACAUCUUUUAGAAUAUCAUCCAAUGACUCUGGGGAAUGCGGGGCUGUGUCAGGCAACCGAGCCGACAAAUAACCAGGCUCUACUUUGCUUUGAACAGGGUAUUUCUCGAUGUUUUUGUAAUAAUCAGCAAUGAAAUCGAUAACAGCUUUCGAUUCGUCAGAGAAGCUCUUUGGCAUUACUCUUAACACAUGAGGCAAGAAUGGAACAAAAUCAUAAUACUAAAGAUCUUUUUAGUGCAAACUAUGGGAUGAUGAAUGCUAACUACUCUCAGUUUAGAGGAAAUAAUAAGAGAGGUGGUUAUAGUGGAUAUCAAGGGCAAUUUAAUGCUGGAAAUAGGAAUCAAAAUGGAGGAAGAGGAAUGUCUUUCAAUUCAUUCUCAAGAGGUUUUCCAGCUGGUGGAUAUACUGGUAAUGCUGGUGGCAGAGGACAGCAAAUGAAUGCAUAUGCUUAUAAACCUGUGCUUAACAACAGGCAUAAUUUCAAUGUGAAUCAUGGCUCAACUUCAAUGCCCAAUGGAAAUGGAUCUGAUGAUAAUGUGCUUAUCUGUCAAAUCUGUCAUAAAGCUGGACAUGCAGCUGAUGUUUGUUGGCACAGACACUUUGAUGGCUAUGCUCCUCAACCCAGACAAUUUGGAAGGGGCAGAGGGCAUAAGUCUGCUUAUAUGGCUAACUUUGAUCCACAAAUUGGCUUUACUUCACAAUUUGAAGAUUCGUUUGCUACAGAAUAUCCUGGUUAUCAUGGGUACCAUCCACCUGAUAUGAAUGCAUCAGUUGCAUCAGUAAGUCAUCACUCAUCUGAUAUGCAUUCUGUACCUGGAGCAGCUUAUAUUGCAAAUUUUGAAGGACCAGCUGAUGAAGGGUGGUAUCUUGAUAGUGGAGCUACGCAUCACAUCACUAACAGCAUGGCCAAUAUGCAUAUCAGAGAUCAAUUCACUGGAGCAGAUCAGCUCAUUAUUGGAAAUGGACAAGGUUUGCCCAUAACUCAUGUUGGUGAUGCAUCAUUUCUCUUUAAAAGUUCCAAUUCUACACACAAACACUCACCUAUAGUACUUAAAGAUAUUCUGUUGGUGCCUUCCUCUCAGUUAUCAUCAUCUUUUCUUUCUCAUAUGUGUUCCAAUAAACCUUUGUCUAUGCUUUCUUGUUGUUGUUUCAAUUCUGUUCCUUCUGGAGUAUUUACAGAAUCUUAGAAAUCAUGUAAUCAAACUGAUGAUUCAUCUUGUAAAACUUCAGUUAAUAAAGCUAUUUUGCUUCAUAGAAAGUUUGGUCAUCCCAAUCAUCAAAUAUUAACUCAUAUACUCAAAACAGCAAAAUCUAUUCAUUUACCUGCAUAUCAAAAGCAACAAAUGCAUCAGUACAUCUGUGAGGCCUGUCAAAUGGGCAAAACACAUAAACUUCAUUUUCCAAUUACUGAAACCAAAACCUCCAAAACUCUAGAACUUAUACACACUGAUUUAUGGGGUCCUUCUCCCAUUAUUUCUAGAGAUGGUUAUCAGUAUUAUAUAAGUUUUGUAGAUGACUACAGCAGGUAUACAUGGAUUUAUCCUUUGAAGCUAAAGUCUGAGGCAUUAGAAGUCUUUAAGCUCUUUAAACUGCAGGUUGAAAAUCAGUUUAGCACAACCAUUAAGAUGAUGCAAUCUGAUUGGGGGGGAGAGUAUAGACCAUUCACUGAGUUUUUAAGCCAAUUUGGUAUCAUCUUUAGACAUCCUUGUCCUCACACUCAUCAUCAAAAUGGGUUAGUUGAAAGGAAGCAUAGACAUAUUGUUGAAUUGGGUCUGACUCUCUUAGCUCAAGCUCAACUUCCCUUUAAGUUCUGGUGGGAUGCAUUUCAUACUGCUGUAUAUCACAUCAACAGACUUCCAUCUCCUGUUUUGCAACUUUUAACCCCAUAUGAAAAGACAUUCAAACACAAACCUGAUUAUGAUUUUCUCAGAUGUUUUGGGUGUUCUUGUUAUCCUUACUUGAGAGAUUACAAUAAACAUAAAUUUGCCUACCAUUCUAGUAAGUGCAUAUUCAUUGGUUACAGUCCUUCACAUAAGGGCUACAAAUGUUUACACCCUUCAGGUCGAGUCUAUGUGGCAAGACAUGUUACCUUUGAUGAAUCAGUUUUUCCUUAUGCCACUGAGUUUGUUUUUCAUAGUCAUGCUAAAACUGAUUCUCAAAUUUCUCAUUCCCAUACACCACAGCAAAUCCAUCAUAUCUCUUCUUUGCCUGUCAAUAACAGCACUGGUAAUCUGAACUCUGUAAGAUCUGGAAGCAGCAGUUCAAGUCACUCAGAUCAUCUAGAACAGACAGCAACUGAUCAGAAUUCACAACAAGCUACCAUAAAUGACAGGUCACCUUUUCAUACAUGUCCAACAAUUGUUGAAUCUAUACAAAAUAUUCCAAAACCUCCACAUCACUCUUUGCCUAUACAAAGUCACCAUCCUAGCAACACUUCUUUCUAUCCAUAUACACAACCAAAUACACAUCAGAUGAUAACCAGAAGUAAAGCAGGGAUUUUCAAACCCAAAAUUUAUACUGCUGUGCUUACUCACAAGGAACCAGAUACUGUGCAAGAAGCAUUAAAUGAUUCAAAGUGGCUACAAGCUAUGAGGGAGGAAUAUGAUGCCUUGAUUAAGAAUAAUACAUGGACAUUGGUUCCAAGACAAGCUGAUCAGCAUGUGGUUGGAAAUAAAUGGGUGUAUAGAAUCAAAUAUAAUACAGAUGGAAGUGUAGCUAAGUAUAAAGCUAGACUUGUUGCAAAGGGUUUUCAGCAAGUGGCAGGGAUUAACUAUUUUGAGACAUUUAGCCCAGUUGUGAAGUCAGCUACAGUUAGAGUAAUACUUAGCUUGGCAGUGAUGAAUCAGUGGAGAAUAAGGCAAGUGGAUGUCAAUAAUGCCUUUUUGAAUGGAGAGCUAACAGAAGAAGUUUUCAUGUCUCAACCUGAUGGCUUUAUUGAUGCUCAGAGAUCUGAUUUUGUAUGCAAAUUACACAAGUCUCUGUAUGGGCUCAAGCAAGCUCCUAGAGCCUGGUAUGACAAGCUUAAAGGAUGCUUAAUAAGCUGGGGUUUCACUACUACUAGUUCUGACACCUCAUUGUUUGUUAGGAAGAUCAAGACAUCUAUGAUCAUAGUUCUUAUAUAUGUUGAUGACAUACUGAUCACAGGUCCAAAUACUGAGGAGCUGGAAGGUUUUAUAACUGAAUUCAGCAAAACUUUUGCUCUAAAGGAUCUGGGAGUGUUAUCCUAUUUCCUUGGAAUUGAGGUAUUAUAUGAUGCAGAUUGUAUGUACUUGUCACAGAGAAAGUAUAUCAGAGAUUUGUUAUCGAAGGUAGAAAUGACUGAAUGUAAGGGCAUUGAUACACCCAUGAGUACUGGCUCUAAACUGCAAAAGAUAGUUCAGGGGGAACUUGGAUACUAUCUUGAAGAUCCAACUCAUUAUAGGAGCAUAGUUGGAGGAAUGCAGUACCUGAUACUUACCAGACCUGAGAUUGCGUUUGCUGUAAACAAGCUUAGUCAGUAUGUAGCUGCACCAACACUACAACAUCUAAUGGCAUGCAAGAGAGUUAUAAGAUAUCUAAAGGCAACUCAAGAUUAUGGUUUAAAAUUUUUCAGAGAAGGAAGCUUAACACUCACUAGUUUUACUGAUGCAGAUUGGGCAUGUGACUUAGAUGAUAGGAAAUCAGUUGGUGCUUAUUGCAUUUAUUUAGGCAAUAAUUUGAUAUCCUGGUCUUCUAAGAAACAAUCAGUGAUAACCAGAUCAAGUGCCGAGAGUGAGUAUAGAGCUUUGGCAUCAGUGAGUGCAGAGCUGACAUGGUUACAAUCCUUAUUUUCUGAGUUGGGAAUAAGUUGCAUAGAAAAGCCAAUCAUAUGGUGUGACAACAUUAGUGCCACUGAACUAGCAAAGAACCCUGUGUAUCAUUCAAGAACAAAGCAUAUCGAAAUUGAUAUGCACUUCAUUAGGAAUAAGGUUCUUGCUGGUGAGUUGAUUAUUCACUAUGUACCAAGUGAAGAACAGAUUGCAGACAUAAUGACCAAGCCUCUUUCAUUUGUAAGGUUUAACUACUUGAGGUCCAAACUCAAUGUCCAUCUUUGUCCUCUGAGUUUGAGGGGGGCUGUUAGAGCAGCUCAUUAUGCUGAACAGAAGAAGGUGAAGACUAAGAUGAAGAAAAUACAGAGCAAGUUACAGGGCAAGUGUGUCAGCAGUGCCAGCUCAGCUGACAGCUCAGCAGAUUAGUUAAGAUGAAGAUAUACCGGCUUCAGCUUUAGAAGUUUUGAUGCGAUCAAUGAUUUUGGAAUCCAUGUGCUUAAGUUGUUGCAUCCGUUGCUUAAUAUCAGUGAUUCUGCUUUGGAGUCCUUGCAGAGCAUCAAAAAUGUCCUUGCUGCAGCUGCUUUGAGUCUUCUGUUGAGUGAUGCUGUUGAUGAAUGUGUCAAUCACCUUCUCAGAUUCAUACGUAAACCAAUUGAUUUCGUCCAUAACGGUCGCCAGAUCUGGGUCAUGACUUUCCUCCUCCGCCAUUUUUUCGAACAGAAGGAGGGAGAUAUCAUCUUCAAAUUCGCUCAGCCAAGAAGUAACGAUUUCAACCUCCGCAUGAAGGUUCUGAAUAGGUUGUUUUGCAGCAUCAGGCAACGUGACUUCUUCACCAGCUAACACCCUUCUCAGCCUCUCUGAAAAUAGUCUGAAGUUGAUGUGCAUAUCUCCUCCUCUCUCAGAUUCACCCUGAAAUCAGUCCUGUAGCAUGCAAAGAAAUAAUUAAAAGAAAAACAUGCUUUAAAGCUCUCAAUUCAAACAUUAGUGCUGGCUCCCAUACCUCCCUUCUCUUAGCUAGCUCUCCGGUCAAGAAGUUGAAUCAAGAUCGUUGACUCUCAGAUUAUAACAGAUCAAGGAAGAAUCUUACAAUAAUCUCGUCUCCCAUAUGAUCAAGACCAAUUUGUUUUAUACAUCCACUUUUAAGAAAGGAAGGGUAAAAACAAUUCCACUGGGACUAUAAAAGCUUGUCUGAAAAGAAAAGAACGGAGCAAGCACAAGAGCGUUAUCAAUUAUUUAAUAAUUAAUAACUAAGCCGUGGAAAAAUGCAAAAUCAUGUCAGGUGUUACUUGUUAAAUUUAUUGCGAGACUUGCAUGUAUCUAUAUCACAAAUAAAAUUUGUAUCCCAGGGUUAUAAAUGUAAAAUUACUCAAAUAAAUAUGCAUUCUUAAUCAUGUGUGAUGCUGUCUUAUUUCUGAGAAAGUACUAAAUCGUUUGUAAAAUUUUAUAGUUAAUAUAUGUUCAAUUUUCUUUUUAGCAUUCUUUUUUAAGAAAUGAAAAAUGAUAAAGAAUUCUAACAACGGGUGACAAAAAUAAUAAUAAAUUGUGCAAUGUUACAAUGUUAAUUGAAAAAUAGUUAUAAUUUUUUAUUUAACAUUAUAAAUAAAAUCUAUAGUUGUUUUCUCACUACUGUAUCAUUUUUUAAUUCAAAUAUCAGUAUUAUAUGAGCUCUCACCUUUUAGAAAGUAUUAUAUCAUAAGACACUAUUUAUAAUUAUUUUCAUUUGAGCCCUUAGUGUUAAAAAUAUAACAAUCCAUCAAUGAAAUCAAUGAUAAUGGAAUUCUAAGUAGGAAUGGCAGAAAAAUCAAGUCUAGCUAGAGCAUGUUUUCUAAGUAUUCUGGCUGGUCUUGGGCUCCGGCUAAAAAGUUCGAACUCAGCUCGAAAGCCAACAUUGUAUAGUGGGAAUCUAGGACCAAUCACAUGGAGAUGAUUUGUAAAUUUUUGUACACAAUUUUAGUAUGCAUAUCAGAAGAGAGGCAGCAAUCUUAGUUGAUACUUUUAUUUGACAUAUGAUGUAAGAAACGGAACAAAGAUUGUAACGCCACAAAUUUUGCAAUUCAGCAUCCAAAAUAUCACUAGAACUUGCAAGACAAGCUUUAAUCUCUUCAACAAAGGUCGAAUUGCGGGCAGGAACACAAACGCAGAGAUGGGUAUCAAGAUCGCAUUCGAAACGACUGACAGGGAUUGUCACAGUCGGCAUUGCUUUUACAAGUGACUGCUUUUGAUUCCGGUUGAGCAUCAACUGCCGGCAUGGAAAUAUUAAACAACACACUUGCAUAUAUAAAUGCCAAACAAUUAAUUAGCCUAAUGCUAAUAACACGCCUGCAUAUAUAAAUGCCAGCCAAUUAGUUGUCAUAUUAUAGUUAAUUAUGCAUGCAUUAAAAAGAUGAGGAAAAUAAGAUUAAGGAACAAACAUGAGGCCACCAACAGAGUGAUGAAAAAUGUGGAUUUAAGUUUAAGUUCCAUAAUGUUUAUGUAAGCAAAAGUGCAAAACUGAGAGUCUGUGGAUAAUGAUAUUAUUAAAUUUAAUAUGGGUUUGGUUUGCAUAGAUUCAUGAAUUUCUCUAGACAUUAUAUGCGCCGGGGGAGAAUUUAAUCCACUUGACAACUAAAAAAUUCAGAAAUCAAACCUCGAUUUGACAAAUUAGAAAUUUAAAAAUUAAAUUUUUUUCCAUAUGCAUGCUCUCGUUUUUCUCUCUAUCACAGCGGUAUAAUUGGAAUUAUUGUUAUGACAAUUUGAUUCUCUUUUCUUACAUGUUGCAGGAGUCAUGUCCUCCCGUUGAGGUGACAAAAUGACUAUGGAUUGUGCCUGAGUGGAGUACACCACCAGUAUGAUUAUCUCACUCCCUUUCGAGGUUUUGUUGCAGUAAUUUCUCAUCUUUUAUAGGGUACCCUGCUCUUCAUUGCUUCUGUAGAAGUCUUAUGAGCUAAUUGCUUCCGAAUCUUUAAAUUUCUUCAAUGAGGAACCUUUGUUUGGAAAAUUGAUUUUCAUCUGAUCCGAGAAGGGUGCUUUGAAGCAGAGAGCUUACGAAAUGCAGCAUGCAAAAUCAUGACUACAAUGCAGUAGACUAAUUGUUAGCUCACUCUAAGCAAAGGCAACGUUCAUAAAAGAUGAAGAAGAGUUUCUAAUAUUUACCAACAUAACCGAUAGCAAGUGCACAGAAUAGAGUCAUCUGAACAUUCAGUAGCAUAAGAACAACCAAUGUAGCUGCAAAGAUGAGAUGUAAUUACUACUGUGAAGUCGACGAAAGAAUUCCACUAUUUAUCAACAACUAGACUGUAGUAUAAUGGAAAGACCUGCCAAGGAAAGUUUAAAGCAAAACUCAUCCAGAGAAGGCAAGAACAUUAGUAUAGAAGCAGAAGUGCACACAUUCAUAUUUAGGGGUAACGAGAAAUGUAUCAUAAAUCACUUGCUCUAGCACAGUACUAUUUCAUGCUAAUUUUCUUGCUCGUUCUAUGGUUAGGACCCUUUGAGCGGAAAGAAAUCAAAUCACAAUGCUUAUUCUAGCUAGAAACUCCUGAAGUCCAUGCUUGAACCCUGUGUCAAUUGGUCAUAGACUCCAUAUUCUCCCAAAAGUAUGACAUUUUUUUCUUCCACUGAUUAAUGGAACUUAAAACUGUUUUGCCACAAUCUUAGUCAUACAAACCCUUUCUCUUUACAUUUCUUAAGGUCAUCAGACCCAAACCAGAACAUGUUUACUUCCUAGGAGAAAUCUUAAAUAUCUUAAUCAAUACGGAACUGUGUAGUUCAGACAGCAUUCCCUUGGCCAACUAGACGUAACGAUUUGCAAUGUCCUAGUAAGUCUAUGAGUGGAACUAACAGUGCCCUUCCAAUACGGAAAAACAAUCGUCAAAAACAAUUUUUUUACCCCAUCAACCACAUACAGUAUAAGACUGUAGCUGGUUAUCUCAAUAUCGGCUGCCAUUUUGAUUCAAAGAAGAAAUAUUUGAGAACUCACCACAUUGUGCAAUGCGAACCAGAACCUGCCUAAUCACAGGAUGCCGAUCCCAGUUCCAUUUGUCACUACAGAACUUGAAAAAAUCCCAAAGUGCCAAACUUGAUAUCAACCCAACAAGUGCAAGUGGCAUCUGGUAUCUAUAAGAUGGAGACAGAGACAAUGUCACUAGACAGAUGAUACACAGAAAAAAAAACUUGUAAUACAACUAACACACACAAUACUAUGAUUAAAAAAAUAUCUCCAUCAGUUAAAAACUAAACAAUGGAAAGGCGAGACUCUAUGAACUAAUGCCCUGAACCAGCACAAAUACCAAUUCUCCCGGAGUAUUUUAAGUAUUCAUAUAGUUGUUUCAAAGCACAGGAAAAAAAAAAACAACGCAAAAUUGCAAACUCAUAGUGUUGUUAUUUAUCAAUUGAAACCCAGAAAAAAAAAUCUGUAACUUAAUUAUUCAUUUAAGCAGAUUGAAACCCUUACAAACACAGGUAAGCAAAUCAAAAUUAUCAUUAAAAAUCCAAUCAAGGCCACAUAAAUCUAAUCACAUCCAAAAGCAUCCCAAAAUCUCGUUCAAUAUUCAUACACCCACAUACAAAAACCAUUCAAAAAUUUAAUUUUUUUUAACUCAAAAUAAUAACUCAGGAAAGGAAACAAAAUUCUUACAGAGAGCAAGCAAAGAAGAGGAUGAACAAAGAAGCAUAAUUCCUGGCAUAACGUUUAACAUUCUCAUGAACUCUCAACUUAAGGGUGUGUGGGGAAGAUGGAAACGAGUAAGACCCAAGAGCCCCAAUAAACUCACGGGUCCAAGACGGGGUGUUGGCUGAGAAAUCAUCAGUGGUGAGUUUAGCAAAAGGGUUGGCGGUAAGAAGAGAGAUAAAGGUGUAUAAAUAAUGUAAAAGGCUGUGAGUUAUGGUCGUGGCUGUGGCUGUUUCUUUGGUGGAGGCUGUUGUGACGGCGGUGGCCGAUGUCGUGGUGGCGGUGUCAAGGCUUUCGAGGUAGCCGGAGUCGCGUAGCCAUGACUCGAAUGCUGGGUCGGUUACGUUUAGAGAUAACGGGUUGGAUGCGAAUACCUUCCCCAUUGCAAAAAGUUAUCCAAUUUCGGUUGAACGAGGGUCACUAAAUUAUCAAAAUAUUAAUAACUAAUUUGUAACAAAAUUCAUAUGAUAUGAUAUGAUGAUAUAGGCCUUGGUUAGUGGUUUUCUAAACAAUUUAUUAUUAUUAUUAUUCUCUUAAUCAUUCCAAGUUUAAAUUUCGAAGAGGUAGGGGAUAGAAAUAAAUUAUAUUAGGAUUUGUCGAUUUUUCAAUAAAAACUUCAGUAUUAUAUGCUUAAUUGUUUUAAAGAAUUUUCUUUGAGUAUUGUUUUGAGUAAAUAAAUGUGAUUAAUUUAACAUGCUUAAGGAUUUUUAGUAUUUUAAAGACCAUACAAAGUAUAACUUAAUUUUUUAAAUUUAAUAGAUGAGUGUGUAGAACAAUAAAGUAUUUAAAGUAAUUAUUAGAGGAUAAAUAGGCAUAUCCAAUACUUUUAUUUUUUUGAAAAGAAAGUAAAUCUUUCAUAAAUCACAACACCUCAAAUACAACUUGAAUCUCGACUGGAAUAGUUCCUAGCCACAUAGAAGAAGAAUUUCUUCCCAAAGCUAACUUAGCUAGAGAGUGGGCAUAAGCAUUACAUUGACUUGUUAUGUGAUGAACAACUUUUUGAAAAACUUUCAACUGAUUUCGGAUCUCCAGAAUUGUCCAAAAAAUUUCUGUUUUGCUGCUCUUGGUGUUGUUUACAAGUUGAACCACCUCUAAGCAAUCUGACUUAAUGAUCAAGGAAGUUAAAUCUGCUUCUUUUGCCAACUGAAGCCCCCAUUGCACAGUCUCUGCCUCAGCUAAACUGACUGGUCCCUUAAGAUGAAUUUGAUUAAUACCGGCUGCAAUUAUCUUUCCAUUAGAAUCUCUAAUCACUGCUCCCACGCCUGCAAUCUGAUUCUUAGUAUUGAUGGCAACAUCCACAUUAAUUUUGAAAAUAUUUUCAGGGGGAGGGAACCACUUCUGUUGUUUCUCUCCUCUGGGGUGGGCAAUAUGAGAAGGCUUUGUCUUUCUUACUCUUUGAAAAGCUGAGCCUUUACAACAUGAGCAGGGAGGGGACUCCACUUUUGAUGCAUCAUAGAUAGUUUCUUCUCUGCAAAAACUUUGCCCAAAUUUCUUAAGUCUCUUAAAGGCAUCUAUCAGAUCUGCCUUUGCAACACUUUCCACAAAGUAGAAACUUUUCUUCUCAAAAUUAUGCAUCAUAAAAUACAAAACCAAGCAAAAUCAAAUGAACAACCCCAAAUUUGUAAAUCUGGGUAGACAAACAAUAAUAAACCACCACAAAUCUCUAGAUAUGAGUGGAAGAAUACACCACCACAGAUUUGAAAAUAUGAGUGGAAGAACAAAACCACCACAGAUAUGAGGAUCUGAGUGGAGAAAAUAAGUAAAGAAAAUAAAAAAAGAAGGUUUCGCUAGAAAACCAACUCAUAGAGCUGAUUUUUCGGCGAAAGAAGAAGGUGAAAUGUUACUGGAUGUUCAGAGCCUUUUUUUUCUGGAAAGGCAUAUCCAAUACUUUAACUUAUGGUUGGUUGUUUUUUUCACUGAAUUUUCUAAUUUGAAUUGAAUCAAUUACAAGUUGUGACUCGAGCUCAAGAGAGUUGAAGAGAAAGAAAAAGAAAAAUGGAGUCCUUCUCUUGUCCCUUUUAAGUGAAUAUAUUUAGGUUGGGUACCGCAGGGUAGUUUAAUCUUUUCUACUGCAUGGCACCUCUUUACUCAAAUAUCAAAUGAGCUUGCUCUUCACGUGACACCAAAUUUACCAAACUUUAUUUUUUUCCUUGAUUGGCUCGUGUAGGACAGUCGAGGUGUCAUUUGUUUUUUCACCGUUCAACUUCUUAUUUAUUAUUCUUAUACCACAUGUCAGCUUUCAACUAGUCCAUAAAUAUCCUUCAAAUUUUACCUCCAAACAAAUCUAAUAACCUCUUGAAAACAAAAAAUUAAAAAUUUACUCAAUCAUUCAAUGUUAAGGAAAUUGGCCAAGUAAUGGAAUGCUAACAAACCAAAUUAAAUUUCUACAUUUAAUUUUUUUUCUCAUGCAUGCUCUACUAAAAAUAUUUGAUGUGGUGCUAAUGCUCACUGCAAAGUAUAUAUUAGAUGCUCGUGCAUAUACCGUAGGCUAUAGCUAUACAAAAACUUAUACUUGCGUUCUCGAAUGCACACACUUGCACGCAAAAUUCUAUUAUUGAGAGUCGCUGCUUUCUAUAACACGGCCUUUUUCUAGCCUUUCAUUAGACGUGGUUUCAAUUUAUUUAACCAUUAGAGGGACACAUCAGUAGUCACAAAAAUGCCCCUCUAAAUGGCAAUUCUUUUAAUCAUUUUGCUGCCGCUCUUCCUUCCAGUCCCAAGUACAUAGCCCAAACUUCAAUUUUCUCUGGGAAGGUAAUGAAGCGUGGCUUAGUCUCAGUAAUAUGUCUUCCAUAUUCCAUGGAAUGAGCCAAAAGAGGAGUACUUCUAUAGUUAGUAGCAACUAGCAAUCAUAUUGAUUCUUAAAGGAAUUUUCUACAUCAGAUAAAGAAAGAGCAGCAGAGAACAAAGCUGUUAAUCAAUCAACACAUGUAAAGCAGUAUUAGUAUUUCUGCCUUAUUGUAGUGCCUAAGCGGGUAUUAGGAUUUCUCCACAAGAACGUUUACUAAGACAUUCAGCCAAGUGUGAAGUUCAUCAAUAAUUAAUCUUUUCUGGAAAUAAACGGAACAUAUUGAGUGCCAAACUUGCCCAGCCUUUGAAACAGGAUUUCAGAGCAAGCAACAGUGUUGAAGUCAACAAAUUGUUGAAAAAUAAUAAUAAUUAAAAAUUAUAUUUUUAAUUAUUUUAUUCUUAGCAUAGUAAUUCAUUUCUCCUAUAAAUAGUUAAGGAUUUCAUUCAUUUGAAAUCGUCCCAAAAUUGUUAAGCUUAUAAGUUUCUAAGCUUUUGAGGAAAGUGAGAGAAGUGUGUCUGGGGAAUUUAUCUUUCCUGCAGAGUGUGAGAGUACUGGGUAUAUUUGGGUUUCUGGGAAGUGAGAUUCGUUACUCAAAUAUUGUACUCUAUUAAUUGUUAAAUAAACAAUUAUUCUUUCUUGCCUCCGUGGAUGUAGGUUUAAUUACCGAACCACGUAAUUCUUGUGUCCUUUAUUUUUCUAUAAUUAUUUGGUGCGCUUGAUUCCGCAUUCCGCGCACAACAAGUGGUAUCAGAGCCGAAGGUUCUUACUUGGGGGGAUACGGUACUGUUCACGUAUACGGUACUAUUCCCGUAUUCGGCACUGUUCACAUACGGUACUGUUCACGAAUACGGUGGAGACGGCCAUUUAUACUUGGGAGACAGUCUAUUGUAAGUAGUGUAGAUGUAAGUUUAAUUACUGAACCACGUAAAUUCUUGUGUCCUUUAUUUUUCUGUAAUUAUUUAGUGCGCUUGAUUCCGCAUUCCGCGCACAACAAGUGGUAUCAGAGCCGAAGGUUCUUACUUGGGGGGAUACGGUACUGUUCACGUAUACGGUACUAUUCCCGUAUUCGGCACUGUUCACAUACGGUACUGUUCACGAAUACGGUGGAGACGGCCAUUUAUACUUGGGAGACAGUCUAUUGUAAGUAGUGUGUAUUUUUGCAUGUCUAGGAAAGUUCUGUUAACAAAGGCGAUAAGAGUCUAAGGAUUCUGGUUUUUAAUUGGGAUCGAGUUCCUGUCCAGUUUUCUGAGAACUUUCCUGGUGCAUUUAUUCACGCGAAAUUAACAUCAUAGAGACUAUUUUUCAAGUGGAAAUAGUUCGUUGAGAAAAUAGUAGAAGGUGAAACUUCCAGAAUUGGGGAGAGAUCUACCGAGACUAUUUCAGGAGACACUUCAGGUGGGAUGCGAGAUUUGUCAAAUCGCUAUUCAGCACCUGUUAUAGGAGGCCAGAAGAUCGAUGUUGAAAAGUUUGAUGGGAAAAUCAACUUCGGCAUGUGGAGGCGCGAAGUUAUGGAUGCCCUUAUUCAAAUCGAUCUCGAUGUUGUUAUGAAAAAUAAAAGAUGAGUAUCGUCUGAAGCUUUGGUGAGCAAAGAUUGGGCGAUGGAGAAACAAAAGAAGCGUGGUGGAAAGAAUUCUCGAUCCAAAUCGAGAAGCAGAAAUAUAGCUCGAGAUGAGUGUGCCUUUUGUCAUGAAAAGGGCCAUUGGAGGAAAGAUUGUCCAAAGGCUCAAAAGAGAGAUGGGAAGAAACCAGCAGCAGCAAACAUGGCACGGAAAGAUGAGGGCUCUGAUUAUUCACUAAGUAUUACUCCUGCAGCAUACGUGGCUAGUUCGAGCGAGUGGAUACUUGAUACUGGAGCAACUUAUCAUUUGUGUCCUAUUAAGGAAUGAUUUACGGAUUUUCGUAAUUUGGAAUCCGGUGCAGUUGUGAUGGGGAAUGAUCAACCUUAUCGCACAAUGGGGAUAGGAACAAUUCGGCUCAAAAUGUUUGAUGGAAUGAUCAGAGAACUCAAAGAGGUUAGAUUUGUUCCAGCUUUAAAGAAAAAUCUAAUUUCUGUGGGUGCUUUGGAAGCUAAAGGCUACAAGGUUACCAUUGAAGAUGGUAUAAUGAAGUUUACACAUGGGGCUAUGGUGAUUCUGCAAGGGGUUCGGCGUCACAAUCUGUACUAUUUGAAGGGAGGUACAACUGAUGAAGCAAAUGUUGUUGAAGCGCAUAGUGACACCACCAAGCUAUGACAUGUACGACUGGGACAUGCUGGAGAGAAGUCUUUGCAAACUCUGAUGAGACAUGGACUCUUAAAAGGUACCAAAACCUGUAAAUUAAAUUUAUGUAAGCAUUGUGUAGUAGGCAACUGAUGAAGCAAAUGUUGUUAAGGCGCACAGUGACACCACCAAGCUAUGGCAUGUACGACUGGGACAUUAAGAGUCUAAGGAUUCUGGUUUUUAAUUGGGAUCGAGUUCCUGUCCAGUUUUCUGAGAACUUUCCUGGUGCAUUUAUUCACGCGAAAUUAACAUCAUAGAGACUAUUUUUCAAGUGGAAAUAGUUCGUUGAGAAAAUAGUAGAAGGUGAAACUUCCAGAAUUGGGGAGAGAUCUACCGAGACUAUUUCAGGAGACACUUCAGGUGGGAUGCGAGAUUUGUCAAAUCGCUAUUCAGCACCUGUUAUAGGAGGCCAGAAGAUCGAUGUUGAAAAGUUUGAUGGGAAAAUCAACUUCGGCAUGUGGAGGCGCGAAGUUAUGGAUGCCCUUAUUCAAAUCGAUCUCGAUGUUGUUAUGAAAAAUAAAAGACACUUGUAUAAUGAAGAAAUUUAGGAUCGUAUGAAUGAAAAAGCCUGUGGUCAGAUCAGAUCUUGUUUGACCAAGGAGGUGAAAUACUUGGUGAAAGAUGAGGAGUGUGCGGUGACUUUAUGGCGUACAUUGGAGGAGAAGUACCUGGUGAAAAGUCCUGAAAAUCGCCUUCAUGCAAUGAGCCAAGUAUAUGGUUUUCGAAUGAAGCCUAGGGUGUCAAUGCACGAUCAUGUUUCAAGAUUUGAAAAGUUACUUGCUGAUUUGAAGAAUCUUGAUGAAGAUAUUAAGGAUGAAGUCAAGGCUAUAAUUCUGUUACACUCACUACCAGAGGAAUAUAGCCAUUUUGUGACUACUUUGAUAUAUGGGAAGAGUGUGAUCGUCUUUAAAGAUGUUUGCACAACAUUGACUAGCUUAGAGAUUCGGAAUAAUGAUAAAAAUUCUGAACGAGCAUCNNNNNNNNNNNNNNNNNNNNNNNNNNNNNNNNNNNNNNNNNNNNNNNNNNNNNNNNNNNNNNNNNNNNNNNNNNNNNNNNNNNNNNNNNNNNNNNNNNNNNNNNNNNNNNNNNNNNNNNNNNNNNNNNNNNNNNNNNNNNNNNNNNNNNNNNNNNNNNNNNNNNNNNNNNNNNNNNNNNNNNNNNNNNNNNNNNNNNNNNNNNNNNNNNNNNNNNNNNNNNNNNNNNNNNNNNNNNNNNNNNNNNNNNNNNNNNNNNNNNNNNNNNNNNNNNNNNNNNNNNNNNNNNNNNNNNNNNNNNNNNNNNNNNNNNNNNNNNNNNNNNNNNNNNNNNNNNNNNNNNNNNNNNNNNNNNNNNNNNNNNNNNNNNNNNNNNNNNNNNNNNNNNNNNNNNNNNNNNNNNNNNNNNNNNNNNNNNNNNNNNNNNNNNNNNNNNNNNNNNNNNNNNNNNNNNNNNNNNNNNNNNNNNNNNNNNNNNNNNNNNNNNNNNNNNNNNNNNNNNNNNNNNNNNNNNNNNNNNNNNNNNNNNNNNNNNNNNNNNNNNNNNNNNNNNNNNNNNNNNNNNNNNNNNNNNNNNNNNNNNNNNNNNNNNNNNNNNNNNNNNNNNNNNNNNNNNNNNNNNNNNNNNNNNNNNNNNNNNNNNNNNNNNNNNNNNNNNNNNNNAAGUCUUUGCAAACUCUGAUGAGGCAUGGACUCUUAAAAGGUACCAAAACCUGUAAAUUAAAUUUCUGUGAGCAUUGUGUAAUAGGCAAGAAAACAAGGGUUAAGUUUGGUACGGCUAAUCACGAUACUCGUAAGAUCCUUGAAUAUAUUCACAGUGAUGUAUGAGGACCAACUAAGACUGCAUCAAUUGGUGGAAGCCAUUAUUUUGUUACAUUUGUUGAUGAUUUCUCUAGACGUGUGUGGGUGUACACCAUGCGAGGAAAGGAUGAGGUUCUAGAGAUUUUCGUGAAAUGAAAGAAAUUAGUGGAGACUCAAACUGGCAGAAAGAUCAAAGUAGUACGAUAUGAUAAUGGGGGUGAAUAUACUUCUGAUCCAUUCUUGCAAGUAUGCCAGAACGAGGGUAUUAAAAGACAUUUCACGGUGAGACAUACUUCGCAACAGAACAGUGUGGCUGAGCGUAUGAAUCGUACUUUACUGGAGAAGGUACGGUGUAUGUUAUCUAAUACUGGUUUAGAUAAAAAGUUUUGGGUUGAAGCUGUGAGCUACGCAAGUCACUUGGUAAACCGAUUGCCUUCUGCUGCAAUUGGAGGUAAAACUCCUAUGGAAAUGUGGUCUGGAAAGUAUGCACAAGAUUAUGAUUCCCUUCGUGUAUUCGGGUGUCCAGCUUAUUAUCAUGUCAAAGAUGGUAAACUGGAUCCUCGUGUUAGAAAAGCUAUCUUUAUGGGAUUCAAAAGUAGAGUAAAGGGCUUCAAGCUUUGGGAUCUCGAAGACAAAAAGUUUGUGUGUAGCAAAGAUGUCACAUUUGAUGAAGCUUCAAUGAUCAAAGCUUCAAGUUCUCAGCAGGUGGAGAACAAGACCAAAGAGGUAUUGCAGCGGGUGGAGCUUGACGUAACUCCAUAUGUACCAGUUAGUUCUACAUCAAAGAAGAGUUCAACUAUAGAGGUGACACCUAGAGUUGAAGAAGAGGUUGUUUUUUCUGAUGUCCCACAAAAUGAAGAAACAAUUGAUGAUGUAGAUAAUGAUGAUUUUAUAGCAACAAGGAGGCCAAGAAGAGAGAUAAAGAAACCCAGAUGGCUUACUAAAGAUAUGGUGGUAGCCUAUGCACUUCCAGUUAUUGAUGAUGACUUCCCCAACACUUUCGGUGAAGCAUUACGCUGUAGUGAAAGUGAUCAGUGGAAGUUAGCCAUGGAGGAAGAGAUGAAAUCUCUCCAUCAAAAGCAGACUUAGGAACUUGUAAAGUUACCAAAGGGGAAAAGGGCUAUUGGCAAUAAAUGGGUCUACACCAAAAAGCAAGGAUCUCCAAAUCAAACAACUCCUCGAUACAAGGCAAGGCUCGUGGCAAAAGGUUUUGCUCAAAAGGAAGGUAUUGACUACAAUGAAGUUUUCUCUCCAAUUGUAAAACAUACUUUCAUUCGUAUCCUACUUGCCUAAGUUGCAGAAUAUGAGUUAGAGUUGGCUCAAUUGGAUGUUAAGACGGCGUUCUUGCAUGGAGAUUUGGAGGAGGAAAUCUAUAUGAUUCAGCCUUGUGGUUUCAGAGUUACUGGAAAGGAGAAUCAUGUGUGUAGGUUGAUUAAAUCUUUGUACGGACUGAAGCAAUCGCCAAGGCAGUGGUACAAAAGAUUUGAUCAAUUUAUACAAAGGCAGAAAUUCACCAGAAGUGAACACGAUCAUUGUGUUUACUUUAGAAGACUACCAGAUGAAGCUUUCAUCUAUUUGUUACUCUAUGUCGAUGGUAUGCUUAUAGCUUCGAAGAAUAGAGAUGAGAUCGAAAGAUUAAAGAAGCAGCUGGCUUCUGAGUUCGAGAUGAAAGACUUAGGUGAUGCACAGAAAAUACUUGGGAUGGAGAUUCGUAGAGACAAGAAGAAUGGGAGCGUAUGGUUGACUCAAAAGUUUUAUUUGAAGAAAGUGCUAGAAAGAUUCGGUAUGGAUGACAAAAUUAAAUCGAUAUGUACACCUCUAGCUCCUCAUUUCAAAUUAAGCUCUUAUUCAUGUCCUAGAUCUCAAGAGGAGUGCGAUUACAUGGCUCAUGUUCCAUAUGCUAGUGCUGUGGGUAGUCUUAUGUAUGCUAUGGUAUGCACAAGGCCCGAUAUAUCUCAAGCAGUGAGCAUGGUUAGUAGAUACAUGCAUAAUCCGGGUAAAAAUCAAUGGCUUGCGGUAAAGUGGAUUCUCUGAUAUCUAUAUGGGACAGUUGAUGUUGGGUUAUUGUUCAAGAAGGAUUGUGGUCAAUAAUGUGUUGGGUAUUGUGAUUCUGAUUUCGCUAGAGACCUUGACAAGCGAAGAUCAACAAUGGGCUACGUAUUCACAUUGGGUGGAGGUCUGGUUAGCUGGAGGUCGAUUCUACAAUCGACAAUUGCUCUAUCCACUACGGAAGCAGAGUAUAUGGCAGCAACUGAAGCUGUAAAAGAAGCUAUCUGGUUGAAAGGCUUAUUAGGUGAUUUGGGAGUAAUCUAGGAGAACAUUGCGGUCUUCUGUGAUAAUCAAAGUGCGAUAUUCCUUGCGAAGAAUCAAACAUAUCACGCUUGGACGAAGCAUAUAGAUGUGAAAUAUCAUUAUGUGAAAGAGAUUAUCGAGAGCGAUGUUGUGUUGUUGAGAAAGAUCGAUACCAAAGAUAAUCCAUCAGAUAUGUUGACCAAGGUAGUUUCUGGAGUUAAGUUUCAACAUUACUUGAAAUUAAUUCAAAUCCUUCGAUUGUGUUAAGAUAUGUCCUUCGGGAAUUUUGAACUACGGUUGGUUUGAUCCCAAAUUUUAGAUACGUAGGCAGUCAUAGAGAUGCAACCACUUUGGGGAUGAUGGCUUGUUGGUAGUCGACUCAAAUUUGAAAAAUUUUCGCCGAGGUGGAGAUUUGUUGAAGUCAACAAAUUAUUGGUGCAAAUUUGUUGAAGUCAACAAAUUGUUGGUGCACCAACAAUUUGUUGAAAAAUAAUAAUAAUUAAAAAUUAUAUUUUUAAUUAUUUUAUUCUUAGCAUAGUAAUUCAUUUCUCCUAUAAAUAGCUAAGGAUUUCAUUCAUUUGAAAUCAUCCCAAAAUUGUUAAGCUUAUAAGUUUCUAAGCUUUUGAGAGAAGUGAGAGAAGUGUGUCUGGGGAAUUUAUCUUUCCUACAGAGUGUGAGAGUACUGGGUAUAUUUGGGUUUAUAGGAAGUGAGAUUCGUUACUCAAAUAUUGUACUCUAUUAAUUGUUAAAUAAACAAUUAUUCUUUCUUACCUCCGUGGAUGUAGGUUUAAUUACCGAACCACGUAAAUUCUUGUUUCCUUUAUUUUUCUGUAAUUAUUUGGUGUGCUUGAUUCCGCAUUCCGCGCACAACAAAUAGAACAAAGACAGAAAAUACAUUCAACUGAACCCAACACCAGAAAGCAUCACAAAUAUUAUUUAUUUUUUGUACACAAUUAACGAACCAUCGCUGAAGCACAAAUCAAUGAACUCUCAACUGAAAAUCCGAAACGAAACUUCUUAUUUAUGAGUAGACAGCGGAAACAAAGAAACCAAAAAAAAGUCCACCACUGUAGGAUCAGGAUUUGUCUGUGUAGACAGUAGAAGUGAAGAUGGAAAGGAUUCUGGUUUAAAUUGAAGCUCAGGCUGUAGUCAUGAUGUUUUCUGCUCUGAUUUCACCUACACAAGUCAUUAAAGAAAUUGUGAAAAAGAAGAAUUUUAAAUUACAUUUUUUUCCUUAACUAUUAAAACAAAUGAACGCCGAUGUCUGCUAGGCUCAUGGUUGAAUGUGGAAGAGUAUUUAAGUCUCCGCUGCUGCUAAAUAGGGCUUGAUGAUUGGGGUGAGUAUCAGAAACUCUAAAGGGUACUUAAUGUUGAGACAAACUAGAAGAAAACACUCUGUAUAACCAUCUUUAUAUUGAAGAGAAGGGGGAAAAAGUAUAUGAAAUUUGAUAAAUAAUAAAAAGUUGAAGAAAUUAGAUAAAACACGAAACAAAUAUCAAAUUCAAUAAGGGCUAAUCAAAUUCCGUAAGGAUAUAGUUGAAUGCUGCACUGUUCCUUAUCCUCAAAUUCCCUUAGCUUUUGUCUCAGCUCUGGCUGAGGCCACCAGCAAUCGAACUUGUUUAAGCUCUUUACGCACCAGAGCUGUUCAUGCAUUUUUUUCAAGUAAGGACAAGGGUUGAUAAUCAAGCAUUCUAGUUUUGGCAUGGCUCCAAUCCCCAUAGUCCACUCCUCUAGGCAUAGCAUUGAUUUCAGGUGCAAUACCUUGAGAUUUGGAAAACCAUGGGAGCCACAAGUUAGCUUCCUACCUGAAUAUGAAUUUUGCUUCAGUUUGAGCACUUGAAGAAGUGGCAGCUUUUCUAGUGCGGGCAUGGGAUCCUCCAUAAGUUCAGUAUUAGAUAAACUCAAGUGGGUUAGUGUUGGAGGAAAAUGGGAUUCAACAAGGACAAUUUUAGAGAAAGCUGGCAUCUUGCUUUCGUUCACCAACUUCAAUGAUUCGAGGCAGCUUAAUCUGCAAAGACUACCCAUGUGAGCCAACUACCCAUGUUGCGAAGAUGAGCGACUUUUAAGAGGAAUAAAACUGUCUGCCUCUUGAGGGGUAUUUAAGAAAACAGUGUACACCAGAAGAAGGAAUGAAAAAAGAAAAUUAAUCUUCCAUCGUAGAGAAGGAGAGAAAAUUUAUAUUAUUUCAUCUUUUUUUCUUAUUCUGCUUUAGUUAUUUCCUUUAUAGUCAACUAUCUAAUUUACUCCAAAUCUAACUUAAGCAUCAAAGGGUUCUCGCCAGAUCCCCCACAGGCGAGUUGUGACCGGUUUCUGUAGCUUUCAAGUUGCAGAUUUAAAGUCCAUAUCAACAUUCAAAUUUUGUUCGUACUAGUUUUCCACCAAAAACAAAUUCAGCUGUUGAAGUCCUUUUUCAGCAUCAACAUCUUGGACAUUCUUAAGAUAGCAAAAUCAAUAAACUCAACAUUAUGUUACUGGCUAAAGAGUGAAGAAACCAUAAGAAUCCAAUGACAACCAAAGCAGAAGGAUCAAUUUUAAUACAAAAGGGAAUUCCUCUGCUGCAAACGAGGGCUUUGAUGUGAUUGUAAAGAAUUGAGAGUGAGCAGCAGUACAUCCUCUCGCCAUCAACUUCAUUGCACUGCAUUACAAGGCAAAUGUGAAAACGAUCACAACUGCUCUUUAUUCUCUUAGUGCAAUUGGGCUGCUAAUCAACCAAUAGAGAAAGAACUAAAUUUUAAAUAUUAAAUCUUAAAUCUUUAUUCGCUACAACUAAAUUUUAAAUCUUCCACUUUCAGAACUUUACUCGUUAAAUCUCCUCUUCAAUUCUACCUAGUCCUUACUGGAUCCUUAAAGUCACCAAGGAUUAGUGAUGGUUUUUUAUUUUACGAGGGCUGUUGGACAACCCAGAUUGACAAGGGCUAAAAUCUCCAUAUAUUUGGAGGCUAUGAAGAUUAGACAAUAUGCCCCAGUUUCUUUUUGUUGUGUUUAAUCCUCUGUUAGUACCAAGAUCACACACUUAAGACCCUCUUUGACGUAUCAAGAAUCAUUCCCAGAAAACCAAACUCAAAAUUGAAUCAAAGUGCCUACAUCCACUGAAGAACAAGGACCAUUUCACAAUCAUUCCAAGAAUAUAAAACUUUUUCUCUUUAAGUCUCUCUCUUUCUAUGGCUUUGAUGAGACAUGUGAAGAUGACCCAACAACCAUUUCACAAUCAGUUUUAAGAUGAUGAGAUGUGAUCACAGCACAAACAUUUUUCGUCUAACUGAAGUAAUGAGAUUGAACUGUACCACUAUUCAAAAACUAGAAAAAAGAUAAAAUAAAAUAAAAAACAAUAACAUAUAUGCAACUUGAAUGUUGACAAAUUGAAUACACACCGGUGAAUGUGAAAUAGAAAGUAAAACAAUUAAUCAAACUUUUGUACAAAAUAUUAAUCCGAAUAUGACAUAAUCCUUGAAAACAAAGAAACCAAACAAUUUCAGUGAAGACUGGAUUCUUAUUGAAAUUGAAACUUUGGCUGCAGUACAGUUAAGAUAUUUUCCGCUUUGCUUUGACCUACACAUUCAAGUAAUUGAAUAUCUUAUUUUUCAGUUUUUCUUGAUUAUUUCAACAACCAAUACAUAAGGGUUCUACCUCUUCUAUAAAUAAGGGAUUAAUGAUUAGUGUCAGUAUCAGGGAAUAUAAUGGACACUUCCAAGUCUUUGUUGUGAAAAAAAUUAGAAGCAACCACAAUUAGAAUGUAGAAAACACUUUAUGGUAUCAUUAUUAUUUAGGCUGCUACGUACUAUCAAAUCAAUCAUAGAGACUAGAUGUUUACGUGAAAUUAGAUAAAUAAUUAGAGGUUGAAGUUAUUGGAUAAAAAGGAAAAAAACUUACAUCAAAUUCGAUCCAUGCUAAUCAAAUUCCAUAUGGGUAUAGCUGAAUGCCAUACUGCUCCUUAUCCUCGAAUUCCCAUAGCUGUUGUCUCAGCUUGGGCUCAGGCCACCACAACUCCAAUUUGUUUAAGCUCUUUAGGCACCAAAGCUGUUCAGGAAUCCUUUUCAAGUGAGCACAAGGGUUGAUGAUCACGCAUUCUAGUUUCGGCAUGGCUUUAAUCCCCAUAGUCCAUUCCUCUAACCAUAGCAUAGAUUUAAGGUGCAGCACCUUGAGUUUUGGAAAGCCAUCAGAGCUACAAGCCAGCUUUCUACCUAAAUACUUCAGUUUGAGCACCUGAAGAACCGGCAGCUUUUCUAGUGCCGGCAUGGGAUCAUCAAUUAGCUCAAUAUUCGAAAAACUCAAGUGGGUUAGACUUGGAGGAAAUUGGUAUUCAGCAAGGAUGGUAUUGGAUCGCCGUGGCAUCUUGCUUUCAUUCGCCAACUUCAAUGACUCGAGGCAGCUCAAUCUACAGAGACUUUUGGACAACAAAGAUUGAUAAUAACUUAAAUCUCCCCAUAUCCGGAGAUUUUGAAGAUUAGGUAGUCUGCCCAAUAUCUCUUCAGUAGAGCAGCAAGGAUGCAAGGCUAAAAUGAAAUUGAGAUUUUAUAGAGAGCCACAAUAUUUUCCUGGAUGUGCAGGAAGUGUGAUCGCUCCAAAAUUUAGAUACCUCAGUUUGCUCAUCUUCCAAAAUUCAUCUGCUGUAUGAUCUAUGUAGCUAAAGGGCAUCUCUAGGGUGUACAGGUUCAAAAGACUGCUUAAGAACGAUGAAGGCAGGCUUUUGAGGGAGGGGAUAAUACUCUGAGAAAUUUGAACAUUUUACAGAUUUUCUUGCAAUAAGUGGGGUCAAGGUAUUGGCUUCCUGAAGUGAGGUACAACAAAGAAUGGAGGAACGAGUCAAAAUCAUCUAAAAAUGUAAAAUGAUUCAAUUUUCCGUGAGCGGUGAAGCGUUUCACAUUUUCCCGUAAUCUAACUUCCUGAUCCAUGAUUGGGGAAAUGAUAAAUUCCCCCUUGAAAGCCACAGUCAACAAUGCAGGACUGCAACUCCCAGGAAUAGAGCUUGUGUUGAUUCUGCUUAUAUCACUUCUCUUCCCUGCAUCAACAAAGGCUCCAUUGAUUAGUUGUUCCAAGUACUUCUCAGUAAUUGCCUCGUUGUUGUCUGGAAUGAAACCUUCAGCUAUCCACAACUGAUAUAAUUGCUUGGUUCAUAUCUCAAAGUGUACGCGAAACACAGAUAAGUAGAGACAACAAAGUUUCAAGUAAAAAGGUAACAUACAAUAUGCAACGACUUGAAGCCCUCGGGGUUCAUCAAGUGCUUCCUCUAUAUUUUCUUUCAGUGAGAUGCUUCCAUGAUAUAAGAUGUGGAAAGGCCAUCCUUGGUAUGUAACUCUCAAUGGUCCUCCAGUGGGCACAAAAUCAAGCCCAAUGUUCUCUCCAUUUUCGAACUGAAAUGAGGUGACGAUCUCAAUUUGACUGAGUGUUAUCAAUACUCUACUUCCAAUCUGAUUAUCGGGAAGUAUUCUCGAAUAACAUCCCAUACUGAUAUUCUCCACACAUUAUCAAGCACAAUCAAAUACCGCUUGGUCAUUACAUAUUCAUGAAGAAUAAUUUUUUUCAUUUCCGAACUUUCUUUCAUAAUUUCACUUAACCUACGUGAAGGCAUCACAAACUUAAUAAUGUCGUAUAAUAUUUGGUCAGCAUCAUAUAGUAAAGACUCUUCAACCCAAGCGUGACAAUCAAAAUAAUGCUUCACAUAGUUGCUGCUGUAAGCCUCUGCGGCGAAAGCCGUCUUGUCCAAUCCAAUGCUAUCAAGUACGGCCACUACCGAAAGUUGAGGCGGUCCCUCUAUCAAUAGAUCUAAUAACUCCUCCAUUCUAUUAUCUAGACCCACCGUGUCCCUAUCCUUAAAAGAUGAGGAUGCAGGAAAAUUACCGGCUUUUGCUUCAAUCGAUUUGAGCCCAUCAAUGAUUCCGGAGUGGAUGUGCUGAACUUGCUGCAUCCGUUGUUUUAUAUCAAUGAUNNNNAUUUUGUCAAUGAUAGCCUUAAAAUCUUCUAAUUCUGCAAGAGUUUGACCCUCUUUUGCAUUGACUUGCCACAUAAACCAAGCAGUGUUGUAUCCACAGUCCCUCAGCCAAGAAGCAAUGAUUUCAGUCUCAGUGUAAAGGUUCUGAAUAGGUUGUUUAGCAGCAUCGGGCACUGUGAAUUCUUCACCAGCUGGCACCCUUCUCAGUCUCUCUGAAAAUAGUCCAAGGUUGAUGUCCAUAUCUCCUUCACUCUCAGUAGUCAGUAGCCAGCAGCUCUAGCAUGCAAAGAAAAUAAUUAUAAAAAAAAAAGUUAAAAGCUCUCCUUUUACUUCAACAUUAGUCAACAUAAUCAACUGAGGAUGGCACCAAUACCUCAUUCUAUUAAGAAGUUGAAUCAAGUUCAGGUGGUUGUCAAAGUAGAAUAGAUCAAGGCAGAGCAGUACUGGAAAAUGAAUCUUAAAACUAAAUGCUGCAGGUGCCGUGGGGAUACUGAUUGAUAAGAGGAAUUAUAUUGAGAAAUUAUUGAUGUACAAUAAUGAUUUUCUGCACAAAAUCUGAGGUAUAAUGUAUGUGUACAUAAAAUAUUCUUUAUGCAAGAAGAUAAAAGGGUGUCUUAUAAUUUGUGUUUUAUAUAUAUGUGUAUGAAGAAAGUAAAAUAGGCUAUCAAGACUAGUUUCUUUUUUGCCCUAUCAAAAGACUGAAAGAUUAAAAAUAAUUCCACUGGGACCAUAAAACUUGUCUAGAGAGAAAAAGCAUCACCUUAGAAUCUGAUUCAUGUUAAGAAAUUGAGUUUUCUCCCAAGAUCACUACAAAUAAUUUGUCAAGAAAUAAAUUAACAGAAAAAAUUAAACGGAGAAUACAUCAGUCACACAUCACAAGAUUUACAUGGAAAACUCUAAAUCCGGAAGAAAACCACGGCUGUUGUCAAAAGACAACCAGAGAAAAAAAUAUUCAUUAUGUAGAAAAUUAUUACAACCACACUCUCAGAAAUAAUUUCUCUCACCCAAGCCCCAAAUACAUGAUCCCGAAAAAUAUUCUUUAACAAAACAAACCCGUAAUACCCAUAUUGAGGAGCCAAAUACUCCUAUUGAAUGCUCUUAAUUGGAUACAAAAGUGAGGAGGAGAACCCUCCUAUUUAUAGGCAAAAACUUGCAUAAUUAUGCCCACCAAUUUUGAUCAAAAUUGGUGGCUUAGCCAUCAAAUUUGAUGAACAAAUUUUGGUCAACAAAUUUGGUGGUUAAGCCACCAAAUUUGAAGCCACCUUUCUUUUUUUUAAAUCAAUUUUCAACAAUUCAUUGAUGCAUCUAAUGCAUAAUAGUUGCUAUUGUUAGAGAUUUUCUUUUCAAGCGCUCUACAGACUACAACAGAAUACGUUAUAGUUUGAAUCGUUAGAUGAUCAUUCCAAUAGGGCUAAAGGUGUUCAUGGAUUAGAUUCAGAUAUAUAUGAUUCCAUCUGAUUUGGAUUUGGAUGUUGCCAUAUAUAUCCGAUUGGAUAAAAUUUGUGCAUCUGAUGGAUUGGAUCCACUUUAAUUUAAACAAUUUGAUUGGGAUUGCACUACUAUAUAUAUAUAUAGGAAAAUGCUUAACGUCGGGAAGGCUGAGAGAACCCUGAGAGAAACGGCAGCUUGUGCUACCGUUUCCCGCAUGUUCUCUUAGCCCCACCCCCACUUUACUUUAAGCAUUUCCUCUUUUGUUUUUUAUAUUAUUUUAUCUCUCUUUUAUUUUUUUCUUCUUUUAUCUUCUUCUUCUUCUCUUUUUUCUUUCUCUCUCUUUUGCAAUUUCUUCGUUACUUAUCUCCAUCAUCAAUUUCAUCUUCUUCAUCAACAACAUCAUCAUCACAAUUAUCUUUAAAAUUCUAGUUAUACAAUCCAAGAGGGGGGUGAAUUGGAAUUCUAAAAAUUAUUCAAUUUAUAAAGAAAAACUUAAUGCAAAUAUAAACCAAAUUCAAAGUAAUAACAAAUAAGUUGAUCACAAUAUAAAAAGAUAAGGGAAGAGAGAUUCAAACACAGAGAUUUUUACGUGGUUCGACCAACCUCGCCUACGUCCACGCCUCCAAGCUUUCCGGGCUUGAGGAUUCCACUAAGCAAGCAUCCAAGGCUUCAAAUGCUUACACUUGACUUCCAACAUGUCAAUAACCUUUACAACAAGAGAUUAUCCCAAUCUCUUUAAUCCAAGUGUAUCCCAACACUUACAAUCACUCAAAAUAAAAGAUUACAAAUUUGUUUUGCCUCUCACAAUAUUUAAGAUUACAAAAUGAUGCCCAAUAUGUGAAUAGAUGAAGCAAGAAUGUGUUCAAAGCUCUAUGAAGAUUGUAUUCUCGAGUAUAAGCUCAAUAGUCGUGUUGUGAUCAGAUUUGUUUGAAUUUGAAUGAGCUUAUUUAUAGUUGGAGCUGAAAAAACUAGCCGUUACAAACUGUCUGCCCGAAAACGGUUCGCCGUUAAGCAUUAACGGUUAACCGUUUAGGCUGGUCAAAAGUUACCGUUGGGCCAAAUUUCAAAUAAAUGGUUUGCCAUUUAGGAUUACUCUUUCGCCGUUAAAUUUCAGAGACCUGCAAGAUAAACACCAGUUAUCCGUUUACAUUAAACGGUUAAGGAUUUGCAUGAAGUGACUUCUCUGGAUAUUAUCGGUUAACCGUUUGUAAUAAACGGUUCGCCGUUUGUUUUCAGUUACCUGCAAAAUAAUUUAGCCUUAUCCGGUUUUAUUAAACGGUGCCAGAAGAGUGCAACCUUCAAUUCUGGAUUUUAUCGGUUAACCGUUUAAAUAAACGGUUCACCGUUAAAUUUCAAUAGCCUUCCCAGCUUUUUGUGUUUUCCGUUUUUCUUAAUCGGUUAGAGCUUAGGCAAUAUGUUGCUCUCUGGUUUUAAUCGGUUAACCGUUUGAAAGAAAACGGUUCACCGUUUAUUUCCAGAAUCACAUUUUAAACCAGAUUUUGCAGAGAAUCAUUUUCUAAUUUGAAAGACCAUCUUUUAUGAAUAUGAUUAGAAUGAUUAUAAGGCUUUCGUUUAUUAAGGAAUAGCUUCAACAUUUUAAUAAAAAAUCAUUUAAAGUUUGUUAUCAUCAAAAUCAAUAUUAUUAACAUAUUCAUGUUAACAAUCUCCCCCUUUUUGAUGAUGACAAACUUUAUUCAAUAUUUUGCUCCCCCUUAAUAUAUGCUCCCCCUAAAUGUAUGGCCAAAUUAAGAAAUGUCCAAUAAAAAGACUUUUGCUCGAGAAAAUAUUUUUAAAUUCAUUUUAAAUCUCCUCAUAAUUAUCUCCCCCUUCAUCAUCAAAAAGAAAAGAGAGAAAGGAAAAUCGCAAAUCCGUUAAAGAAGUUACCCGAUUUUGGCGAGUGAAAAUUUUGGCAGAGUUUCCCCUUAAAAUGGAUCAAAACCACUAAUACAAAAUGAGAUUAAAACACUUACAAAAUAUAUUAACAACAACUCCAUCAUUCAACAAACCAACAACGCCAUGAACAAACAAACCAACAACUCCAUUAACCAAUAAACCAACAAUUUCAUCAACCAAUAUCAAGUCAUCCAACAUCAAGAACAUCAUAAAAACAUGUCAUCAAAAUCCAUAAAGAGCAUAUAGAGGUAGCAAUGUAUAUAAAAAUAUAAAUGGCAACACGCAAACAACCAAAAUAUGAAAUGUAUGUGCGAAAAUAGAAUUCAGAAACUAUGGAGGUGGAGAAGAUGUGCUCCCCGGAUCAUAGCCAAAAUAGUGGAGAAGAGUGUGCUGUCCAGCGAUAAGCUCAUGCUACUGAUCAAUGCUCUGCUACUGGAAGGUCUGAAAGUCAGAACGUAACUGCUGGUGGUCACGGGAAAAAGUGUCCAACCGAUCAAGAAUCAGCUGCUGGCGCUCCGAAAUUCGGUGAACAUCAGCAAUCAACUGCUGCACAACAUCUGAAGCAUGGGGCUGAACUAGAGCUGGAGGUGGUUCAGAGGCAGAUGGGUGCUCAGGAACAUCAGAUGGCUCAGGAGCAGGAGGCUGCUUGGGAGCUAGAGGCGGCUCGGAAGAGGAGGGAAUAUCAGCACCCAUCGCACGCUCCUCAGAGUCAGAGUCAGCUGAAGGCCAAGGGACAAAACGGCGAUGAGGAGGAUGAGGAUGAGCUCCUAAUCUAAAAUCUGGAAGCUUAUUGGGAGGAUAGACAUCGUUGAGCAUCCGAUCGUCCUCUGGAGCAAUCAAGGUAUCCCGGUUUUUGGAGUUGUUUGUCUUUAUCCACUCACCAUUCUUCCUAGUAAAACCGAUACUAGUCAUGGCCUCAGGACCAAUCCCUCUAGUCUCCAUAUAAGUGGUAUCAAGAAGAGGCACCUCAAAGCGUCGUAGUAUCUUAGUAAUGAUACUGCCAUAUGGAAGCAAGUGGUGGUUAACUGCGGGAGUACUCAACAUGUGCCGCACAAUAACAUAGCCGAGGUUAAUGGGACGGCUUGAAAUGAGACUAUCUAAUAGGCCAACGUCCAACCUCGUAACCUCAUCCGAGUGAACCUUCCUAGGUGUCACUAUGUGCUGUAAAAUAGUGUGAAGAAUGCGAACUUGGAGAGGUAAAAGUUGAGACCGAAAAGGUAGAAGACAGAUCUCAUCAGACAAGUCUCGACGACGACAAAUAUUACGGACUCCAUCAGUAUGAUAAAAACUGUAAAAAAAAAGGGCUUUCCUAGAGGUGUAAAUAUCAUGACCCUCACUAGAGAUACCAAGAAAGUCAGCUAGGUCCGCAUCAUCAAAUUCAAUAGGCACAUCGCCGACUUGAGUAACUAUCCUAUUUAGGCGAGUUGCGAAGAUUUCCAUGUUCGAAUAAAAGACUCGUACUAAGUUGGGAUAAACUCGGUCAUCAAAGUCAAUGGCAGACUCCCAAGGCUGAAGCAUAUCCCUAAUACUUCUACCACAUACAACUAAGGUACUGAAAUCAUCUAUUUCAACAUAAGAAGAGUCAAGUACCUUUCGACCAUUGAAGCGAUUCUCGAACCGCUUGGCCAAGGAAGGCAUGGGGAAAUGAAUUAUUGCGAAUUCAGAGACUUCCCGUAGUGGUAUAGGGUUCCUUGGAGGCACAGAUUUUCGCCUGAGAUUUCUCCGAGGGGGUGCAGCCAUGGUGAAGCACAAAGGAGUUUGAAAAUUACUGGAGAGAUGUGAUGAGAAGAAGAUGAAUCGAUUAUUUGCUUAGGAAUGAGUAAAUGAUGUGAUUUUGAUGCUUAAUUUGGCUGAAGAAGGGGAAGAAUCGGGUUAAAAAGGAAGAAACCCGAGCGGCCGCAGUUAGGGUUUAGAUUUGGGAUUUUUCAAUUUUGGGCUUGAUUUGAGGAUUUGAAUCGGUGAAAGUGUUCUAAAGGUGAUAAGAAAUGAUGUUAUAGGUUUGAUUUGACAAGAAAAACAAGAAAAAUGAAGGUUUGAGGGGAGAGGAGGAUUCGGCUGUGCAACAAUGGCCGAAACGGUGAAGGGGCAACUGGAGAAGGAGAAGAAAAAACCUUUGAACAGUUUUAUAAUCACGAAAAUGGUUAACCGUUUAUUUAAACGGUUAAGGGGUAACUUCCAGAGGCUAAAGAAUGGGAAACGGUUAAAGGUUAAACUCUUAACGGCUGAGGAGUAACUGCUAGCGAGCUCUCUGAUUUUAAACGGUUUACCGAUUGCAACAAACGGUAAAAGGGUUAAAAGGCAGUCAACUUAAUCGAGUUUUUGGAAUAAAAUGGUACACCGUUUAUUGGAAACGGUUAGCCGUUUAUUUUAUCAAUAAUUUCGCACAUUUGAUUUAAUUUUUUGCCAGCAAAUAAUACAUUCCAAGAUCAUUUAAUUGAUCUAAAAAUGUUUCAUGAGCCAUUUUAAUGCAUGAUUCAUGAACAUGUAUUGAAGCAAUUAAUUCAUAUAAUCAAUCAAGAAUUAACAAAGCAAGCACAUCAUUUGAAUAUCAAGCUUAAGCAUUUAAAUCAUCAAUUCACCAAGAAGUCAAUCAAUUCAAUACACUCAGUAGCAUGAAUAGUAACGUUAAUGUGAAAAUUUCAUCAUUCCAAGUUCAUGCUGAAUCUUUGAAAAUUGUUCUUCACCAAGAGGUUUGGUAAAAAUAUCCCCCUUUUGAACAUGAUCUCUCAAGAAAUGAUGUCUUAUUUCUAUAUGCUUGGUUCGAGAGUGUUGAAUAAGAUUCUUUGAAAGAUUUAUAGCAUUAGUAUUAUCACACUUAAUAGGAAUUUGUUCUAGGUUAAUACCAUAGUCUCUAAGUGUUUGUUUCAUUCAAAGAGCUUAUGCACAAUAACUUCCUGCAGCUAUAUAUUCGGCCUCUGUAGUUGAGAGUACAACAGAAUUUUGUUUCUUGCUAAACCAUGAAACAAGUGAGUGACCUAGGAUAUAGCAUGUUCCACUAGUGCUUUUCCUAUCAACGUUAUAACUGGCAAAAUCCGCAUCCGAAUAACAUGUUAAAUCUAUAUGAGUUCCCCUAGGAUACCAAAGGCCAAUAUCUACGGUUCCACUCAAAUAACGGAAAAUUCUUUUAAUAGCAAGCAAAUGAGAUUCCUUGGGACAAGAUUGAAAUCUUGCGUACAAGCAUACACUAAACAUGAUAUCGGGUCUACUUGCAGUUAAAUAAAGUAAAAAUCCGAUCAUACCUCGAUAUAUUUUUAUAUCUACUUCCUUGCCUUUUUCAUCUUUGUCAAGUUUGGUUAUUGUGCUCAUUGGAGUGUUUUUGGUCUUUGAGUCAUCAAUGCUGAAUCUUUUGAGUAGAUCUUUUACAUACUUGGCUUGAUUUAUGAAAAUUCCUUUCUCAUUUUGUUUUAUUUGCAGCCCAAGGAAGUACUUCAACUCUCCCAUUAUACUCAUUUCAAAUUCAUUACUCAUGUAAGAUGAAAAUUCUUUACACAACAAUUCAUUAUUAGAACCAAAAAUAAUAUCAUCAACAUAAAUUUGAACAACAAGUAUGUCUUUUUCCUUAUGUUUGACAAAUAAAAUAGUAUCCGCUUUACCCAUUGAAAAAUCAUUUUCUAAUAAGAAAUUCUUAAGUCUAUCAUACCAUGCUCUAGGUGCUUGUUUUAAGCCAUACAAAGCUUUAAAUUACUUAUAAACAUGAUUUGAAAAUCUUUCAUUUUCAAAACCAGGGGGUUGUUUUACAUACACUUCUUCCAUUAUAAAACCAUUCAAAAAGGCACUUGUCACAUCCAUUUAAAAUAAAAUAAAAUCUUUAUGACAUGCAAAUGCCAACAAUAUUCUAAUUGAUUCUAGUCUAGCUACGGGUGCAAAUAUUUCAUCAAAAUCAAUUCCUUCUUCUUGGUUGUAACCUUGAGCCACUAAUCUAUCUUUAUUCCUUACAACCACACUGGAUUCAUCCAUCUUAUUUCUAAAUAUCCAUUUAGUACCUAUGACGGAUUGAUGUUCCGGUUUAGGAACUAAUUCCCAUACAUUGUUUCUUUCAAAUUGAUUUAACUCCUCUUGCAUUGCCAUAAUCCAAGAUCAUCAUUUUCCGCAUCCGCAAAGGAUUUGGGUUCAAUUUGAGAAAUAAAUGCAUUAUGCUCACAAGUAUUUCUAAGAGAUGAUCUAGUUGUAACACCUCGUGAGGGAUCUCCUAAAAUUACAUCCUUAGGGUGAGAAGAAACAUACCUCCACUCCUUGGGAAGUGAUUGAGAUGCACUUUCAUUGUGUUCUACAUUCAUUUCUUCAUGUUGCUCAUCUUGAUUCCCAUGAGACGUAUCCUUUUGGUUAUCUUUUGAUGAUUCUUUUUUUAAGUCUUCAUCUACAUCAUUAUCAACAACAACUUUCUCCGUAGAUGAGGGGUUAGACUCAUCAAAAGUAACAUGCAUAGAUUCUUCUACAACUAAUGUAUUUUUGUUAUAAACUCUAUAAGCUUUGCUUGAGUUUGAAUAUCCAAGAAAAAUACCAACAUUAGAUUUUGGAUCAAAUUUGCCAAGAUUGUCUUUUGUGUUCAAAAUAAAACAUUUGCAUCCAAACACUUUGAAAUAACCAAUGUUGGGUUUUCUAUGUUUCUAAAGCUCAUAUGGAGUUUUGUUAAGGUUAAGUCUAAUCAACACACGAUUUAAAACAUAACAAGCGGUGUUGACGGCCUCGGCCCAAAAAUACUUAGGCAAUGAAUUUUCAUUCAACAUAGUCCUAGCCAUUUCUUGAAUGGAUCUAUUCUUUCUCUCAACAACUCCAUUUUGUUGUGGAGUUCUAGGUGAUAAAAAUUGAUGCUCAAUGCCAAAAUCAUUACAAAAAAUCUCAAAUGCAUGAUUUUCAAACUCUCCUCCAUGAUCACUCCUAAUGCAUGCAAUACCAUACCCUUUUUCAUUUUGUAUUUUCUUACAAAGCACUUUAAAGGUAUCAAGAGCAUCAUCUUUAUUGGCUAAGAAUAAUACCCAUGUAUAUCUAGAAUAAUCAUCCACUAUCACAAAUGCAUAAUAUUUGUAAUUUAAACUAGCAUAUCUAGAGGGUCCAAAUAAAUCUAUGUGAAGAAGUUGAAGUGGUUUUGAAGUAGAAAUACGAUUUUUAUUUUUGAAAGAUGUUUUGAUUUGUUUUUCAAAUUGACAAGCUUCACAAAUCUUAUCUUUUUGAAAACCAAUUUUUGAAAGACCUUUAACUAAAUCAUUUUUCAAAAUUUUUGAAAUCAAAUCCAUACUUGCAUUUCCUAACCUUCUCUGCCAUAACCAACUAUCAUCAUGCAAUGCCGAAAAACAUUUAUCAAGAGUAGAUGCACAUUCUAUGUCAAUGAUAUAAACAUUACCACAUCUAUUCCCACUUUUCAGUCAUGUGCCUUGAACAACCAUUGUCCAAGUAUCAUUUAUUUUUCUUCUUCUUUAAGCCCUACAAGAAAAAUCUCAAGUUUUAGGUACCCAAAGCUUUUUUGGUCCUUGAGAGUUAGCAACGGUUCCUUUUGGAACCCAAAUACAUUUGACACCAUAAUAUGCAUUCCUUUUCACGGGACAUCUAUAUUUCAUGUGACCAUUUUGAUUACAAUAAUGGCAAACAAUCUUAUGAUCACGUGUGGAGGUAGCUUUAACAAAAUAAUUCUUAUAAUACUUUUGCUUCAAGUUAGGCUUAUACCCAAGUCCUCCUUUAUCAAAAACACAUUUUUGUGAGUUAAGCAUAUUAUCCAACAUCUUUUGCCCAUUUGUAAAUUUCAAAACAAUUUCAUUCAAUUCAUUACUCUUUUUCUUGAGCAUUUCGUUCUCAUUUUUCAACUCAUCUAUGUGUGAUUCUAAAUGCUCAUGUGAGAUGCUAGGUUUCUCAUUUGAUAAUGCAAUUUCAUCAUGCAAUGUUUUGUUCUCUAUUUCUAGGCAUGCAAUUCUUGCAUUUAGAGAUUCAUUUUCAUUUUUAAGCUUUGCCAUUUCCUUUUUAAGACAUACAUUCUUUUUACCAAUCUUCAUCAACUCAUUAUGCAAUUCUUUAAAAGCAUCAUACAAUUCAUCAUUGGUGGGAUCACUUACCUCAUUGAGAUCAUCAUCCCCUCUUAUUGCCAUAAGCACUAGGUUUGAUACUUCUUGCAAUCCUUCUUCAUCACUUGAAUCUUCCUCGCUAUCAUCCCAAGUUGCAACCAAUGCUUUCUUCUUGAGUUUUUUGAUAAGUGGGCACUCCGAUCUUAUAUGGCCAUGCUUCUUGCAUUAAUAGCAUGUGAUUACCUCUUUCUUCUCCCUUUGGUUCUUGAAGUUUCUGAAAUUUCUUCGCUCUACGGUUUUCUUGAAGAAUUUUCUGAACCUGCUUGCUAGCAUGGCUAGCUCUUCAUCAUCCGGUUCACUCUCCCCAUCACUCUCAUAUUUUGAAGAUUUGAGAGUAAUGCUUUUCUUCUUCUCCUCAUGCCCUUUUUCUGCUGCCAAAUCUUCUUCAUAUGAAAUGAGAGAACCAAUUAAAUCAUCGAGGGCUAAAGUAUUUAAAUCUUUGGCCUCUUCAAUAGCGGUUCUUUUUGGUCUCCAUUCUUUUGGAAGUGACCUAAUGAUUUUCUUAACUUUUUUGCUAUUUGAGAAGGUCUUUCCUAAGGCUCUUAGGGUGUUUACUAUGUCCGUAAAUCUCGUAUACACAGAGUACACACUCUCAUUUUAUUCCAUUUGGAAUAACUCAUGUUGUCGAGUGUACCUACUAAUUUUUGACUCUUUCACUUGAUUUGUGCUUCAAGUUUGUGCUAAAUUUCAUUGGCACUUUCACAACUAGAUACUCGAUGAAAUUCUUUUUUAUCAAGUGCACAAAAUAAAGCAUUCAUAGCUUUGGAAUUUAGAGAAGCUUUUCUCUUUUCCAAUUCAUUCCAUUCCGUUGAAGGUUUUGGAAUAUCUUCCCCGAAUUCAUUUUUAGUUAGGGGCAAAAACAGACCAUCGCGUACAACUUCCCAAAUUUCAUAAUCUAAAGCUUGCAAAUAGAUUCUCAUUCUAGUUUUCCAAUAUGCAUAGUCAUUACCGUCAAAGAACGGUGGUCUAGUUGUGGAUUGCCCUUCUCUAAAGGUUGAGUCAUUUAGGGUUGCCAUAGAUCUUUUACUCUAGACGAUUAAGUCCUAAUAAGAGAACAAGGCUCUGAUACCAAAUGAAAUUCUAGUUAUACAACCCAAGAGGGGGGGGUGAAUUGGAAUUCUAAAAAUUAUUCAAUUUAUAAAGAAAAACUUAAUGCAAAUAUAAACCAAAUUCAAAGCAAUAACAAAGAAGUUGAUCACAAUAUAAAAAGAUAAGGGAAGAGAGAUUCAAACACAGAGAUUUUUACGUGGUUCGACCAACCUCGCCUACGUCCACGCCUCCAAGCUUUCCGGGCUUGAGGAUUCCACUAAGCAAGCAUCCAAGGCUUCAAAUGCUUACACUUGACUUCCAACAUGUCAAUAACCUUUACAACAAGAGAUUAUCCCAAUCUCUUUAAUCCAAGUGUAUCCCAACACUUACAAUCACUCAAAAUAAAAGAUUACAAAUUUGUUUUGCCUCUCACAAUAUUUAAGAUUACAAAAUGAUGCCCAAUAUGUGAAUAGAUGAAGCAAGAAUGUGGUCAAAGCUCUAUGAAGAUUGUAUUCUCUAGUAUAAGCUCAAUAGUCGUGUUGUGAUCAGAUUUGUUUGAAUUUGAAUGAGCUUAUUUAUAGUUGGAGCUGAAAAAACUAGCCGUUACAAACUGUUUGCCCGAAAACAGUUCGCCGUUAACCAUUAACGGUUAACCAUUUAGGCUGGUCAAAAGUUACCGUUGGGCCAAAUUUCAAAUAAACGGUUUGCCGUUUAGGAUUACCCUUUCGCUGUUAAAUUCCAGAGACCUGCAAGAUGAACAUCAGUUAUCCGUUUACAUUAAACGGUUAAGGAUUUGCAUGAAGUGACCUCUCUGGAUAUUAUCGGUUAACCGUUUGUAAUAAACGGUUCGCCGUUUGUUUCCAGUAACCUGCAAAACAAUUUAGCCUUAUCCGGUUUUGUUAAAUGGUGCCAGAAGAGUAUAACCUUCAAUUCUGGAUUUUAUCGUUUAACCGUUUAAAUAAACGGUUCAUCGUUAAAUUCCAGUAGCCUUCCCAGCUUUUUGUGUUUUCCAUUUUUCUUAAUCGGUUAGAGCUUAGGCAAUAUGUUGCUCUAUGUUUUUAAUCGAUUAACCAUUUGAAAGAAAACGGUUCACCGUUUAUUUCCAGAAUCACAUUUUAAACCAGAUUUUGCAGAGAAUCAUUUUUUAAUUUGAAAGACCAUCUUUUAUGAAUAUGAUUGGAAUGAUUAUAAGGCUUUCGUUUAUUAAGGGAUAGCUCCAACAUUUUAAUAAAAAACCAUUUAAAGUUUGUUAUCAUCAAAAUCAAUAUUAUUAACAUAUUCAUGUUAACAAUCUUCUUUUUCCUCCUGUUAGUUUUGUUUCUUCUUCUCCAUCAACAUCAAAAUUUGGUUUCAUCUUCUUGUAUAAUUAAAAGGCAAGCACCCCUUUGACUUGGAAUCAAAAAAUCGAAAUCAAUACAGGUGUUGUUCUUCAUUUUUUUGGGUUUUUUAGAACAAAAAAUAGGGGAAAUACACUUGGAAUAAUGGAGAGACCGGACGAAGUGACGAACCGGACUGGUGGUGUCUGUCGUGAUGAGCUGAAGAGAAAGAGGUGGUUGUCGGUAACGAUGCCAUUGAUGAGAGAGAGUGCCGAUGAAAUUGAGGGAAGGGAGAAGAUACAGUAGUUUCUGGUGCUGGAGAGAUGAGUUGACUGCAACAAAAGGCUGACUGCAGCAAAUGUUAUGUUAAAAAGAAAAGAGAAAGUAACGUGGGAGGUGGGGCCAAGAGAACACGCGCGAAGCGGCAGCACAAGCUGUCGUUUCUCUUAGGGUUCUCUCAGCUUUCCCGACGUUUAGCACUACUCGUAUACUGCUGUACGGCCAAGGCGGAUGUACGGUACAGCAGCCCUUUCAAAUUUUUGUCUGAAAUAUUUAUCAGAUCCGAUUUAUUUUAAAUCCGAUCGAUUGUAUUUGAGAUUCAGGUUGGAUUCGAAUGAUUUUUUUUCCUAAUCCAAACAAUUCAAAAUCCAAUCGCACUUAUCCAAAUCUAAAGUGCAAUAUUCAUCUCUUUUUCAUAUAUCCUUUGCUAAAUGAAAGUAAUCAUGAUGUCGGGCCCUUCUUUAAAAAAAUAAUAAAAAUCUUCAAUUUAUAUGCAACUCCUUUCUCAUUAUUACUCUUCUUUGUGUUCGACUAUUGUAGUGCUUUUUCUUCUGAGAUAAACUUUAUAGUCCCUAGUGUGAUUGUUUUUACCUUUUCUUUCUUGAAAGUGGAUAAAACAAAUUGAUCUUUGAUUGAUACUUGAUGAUGUCCUAUUUUCUUUUUAUUUUCAUAUUUCUUUUUUCUAACAUAUUGGGGUACGCAAUUGAAAUAGAGGUUCAUUUGUCACAACAGUCCACGCUAAUAUAGACUAUCAAGUUGUGACAGGAAUUAGUCCAUUUGUGCAGCCACAUGACAACAUUUAAAGUCGUCCCACUGCAAGCAAAUAAAAUUAGGUGCCACGGAUUUAAUGGGACAAUCAAUAAAAUUAUGUCCACUGUUUUUUAUUUACUCAUAGUUUAUAAUUAAGUUUUAGAAUAAAUAUGUGACUAGAUUUUAUUUGACAAAGAAAUUGCGUACACUCGUAUGCAACUGUGACAUCUAACUAUCUCUACCAUUUCCAAACCAGAACUUCUAUGUCAUGUUUAAAACACGAGCAAGGAAUUUUAAGUUGGAGAAAGACUUUAGGUAGAAUAGAGACACAAUAUAUGAAAAAGUAAAUGUAUGCGUUAUGAGAUUUUCGAAGACAAGCAUAUUUGUUGACUCGGUAGUUACAUCGAAGUCUUACUCUUCGAGUUAAGUCAACGGUGCAAAAUUCAUGGAAUCUGCAUUUAAUUGUCUGGCUAAUGGGUUCUCAAAUUGCAAAUGAAAGAUAAAAAGCUUUGGUUACACACACACACCCAAAAAGAGAAAAAAAAAUGCCGCCACUGGGCUAGAUACUGUUUAGGAAAUGAAAUAUGGUGACUAAGAUAAAGGUGUUUGCUCAUACAUUAUCGUGCUCUCCUCAAAGUAAAAGUGAGCAAAUGGUUGAGCAGAUCACCUCGACCAGGAUGUUGUUUGGUGACCUCGAGCACAUCACCUCGACCAGGAUGUUAUUGGUCACCUCGAGCCGAUCAUCUCGACCAGGAUGUUAUUGGUCACCUCGACCAGAAUAAUAUGUGGUGACCUCGAGCACAUCACCUCGACCAGGAUAUUAGUGCUCACCUCGACCAGAAUAAUAUGUGGUGACCUCGAGCACAUCACCUCAACCAGGAUGUUAUUGGUCAACUCGACCAGAAUAAUAUGUGGUGACCUCGAGCACAUUUUCUCGACUAGGAUGUUAUUGGUCACCUCGACUAGGAAGUUACCAGGAAGCACGAUUCAGUCAAAACAUUUUCUCCGAAAUAUUAGGGACCAUAUUCUUAGUGGGCUGAAAAUUAGUAAAAAUUAGUAGUUUUCUUGAGAAUUCUAGGGGAGAGGAUAAAAACCGCUAUAGUUUCCUAUAAAAACCCUAGGAAGGGGAAGGAAAAAAGGGAUUCUUCUAGCUCUCUCUCUCUCUCUAGGCAACUGAAUCCAUUGGACCUUUUUCUCUCUCUACCACUGGAAAAUUUCUCUUUCGCUUAGGAUUUUUUUAAGAUUAAUUAUUCUCAGUUAUUUUCCUUUAAAUUUACUUAAAAGCUUUUUUGUUUAAAGCAAUCAUAAUUAAUUCACAUGAAUUGUGGUAUGGAUUUUUCCAAGUAAGACCCAAAUCGCUGACUUGAGCAUCGGAGGGUUCUUGCCAGAAAAACUUUCGGCACUUUCUGACUGUUGGUUGUGCUCACAGGCUCACAGGUUAUCUGCUCAUGAGUUCUCUGCUCAUGGAUCGUCUGCUCAUGGAUCAUCUGCUCAUGAAUUGUCUGCUCAUGGGUUGUCUGCUCAUGGAUUGUCUGCUCAUGGGUUGUCUGCUCAUGGAUCGUCUAUCCAUAGAUUAUUUGCUCAUGGAUUGUCUGCUCAUAGAAUAUCUGCUCAUAGAAAUUCUGCUCAUGGUGUUAACUAAUCAGCAGCUUCCCACCAAACAAAUUUAAUGCUGAUGCAGGGAUUUGAGAUUCGAUCCACUCAUCCGGAUUUCGGCAUCAACAGAUACAAUUAGCUGAAAUGAGGAUAUUAAAAAGAACACGUGCUCUAUUUAAUUGGUAGAGUAUUAAUGGAGCUUGUGUAAUUGUACAUUUACUGUUUUUUAAGGUUAUUUUUCAUAUAGUAGAAAGAUCAUAAAAUGUUUUUAUUGAAUUACACUCAUUUAAUGUAUGUAUGAUAUAUAUGCGUAUGAAUUAAAUAUAAAUAUAGAUAAAGGACAGUGUAUGCCAGCAAGAAAACUUUUUCUCUAGAUUGAAAAUGAUUUAAAAGAACCAUUUUUCUCCCACUAAUAUCUUCAAAAUCAUUAUUGUUAAUAACAGAACCCAAAAAAUAAUUAAAUAAUCUCUUGUUUAAUAUGUUGCAUGCUUGCAGAAAAUUGCGGAUGAUUGAACCAAUAAUUCAACCUUUACUCCAUGAGCUUUAAACUAAUAAUCUGUCAUCAGUUAUUGUCUAAAUAAAGAAAUUUAUGAAUCGGUAUAAAAUGGGGUCCCAAAUCCUGACCUACAUUGAAAAUUAGGAUAUGAAAUUUGUAACAAAUCUUAUAUAGGGUUUGUAUCUCGAUUGUUAUCUGGAUAAUUUUGCCAGCCUAGGUUCACGUAUUAACAGUUAGAGCGGGAGAUCCCAAAAAAGGGUAUCUUGAAUUUAACCAAAUUCAUUAUAAGGAUAUAUGGACCCAUUUGAUUGCCUAAGGGAUCUCGAAUGAAAUUUUCAAACAUCUCAAAUCCUGCCUUGAUUAUUAAAUUGGAAGAAAACUAGAUCUUGAAUCUCAACUCGAAUAAUAAAUCAGAAUGAGAAAUUUUUAUCAAAUCUUGUAUCAUUUAGGACGGACUCCCAAAUUCCAAUCGAGAUUUGAGGAAUUUUGUAUUAGCAACUAGAGCCGAAGAUCCCAAAAAAUAUCUUGAAAUUAACCAAAUUCACUAUAAGGUAUGAACUCAUUUGAUUGCACCCUUAAAAAGUAUUACAGAUGACACCACACAAUCAUAUUAUUAAAACAAACCAAACCACACAUAUCCAGGCUUAGCAUGUAUAUAUAAGAGCACAAAAAAUAACUUCUUUCUCGUUAUAAAGGAGAACAGAAUCAGCUAGAAGCAGGGGAAUCAAAGUACAACAGAAAAUAAAAGAAAAAAAAUGAUACACAUUCAUUUGUUCAGCAAAAACCAAUGACUAUAAGGUGAGCAUGAGGCAUCAACCUUUAAAAUUGGACAGAAUAAGCUAAUUCCUUAAAAUUCACAUGCUAAUACUAUUUAUAAUUUCUAAGUCCAAAGUUUAAAAUAAUAGGUAGUAUUUGUUCAAAACAAGCAUUUAUAAUUAUUAUUCGGAUGAUUAUUUCAAGAAUCUAAGAUAAUAACAAUCCAGUAUUCAAGUUAUUUAUGAAUGAUUAGGGCUUAAAAUCUCCAUAAAAUUGGAGAUUCUGAAGAUUAGGCAAUAUGUCCCAGUUUCUAUUUCUUGUAUUUAGUCCUCUAAUGUAUCAACAAUCAAUGCUAGAAACCCAAUCCCCGAAAUUGAAUUAAAAAAAUAUAGAAAACAUAGAGCAAAUCAACAGUAGAUUCAGCAGCGAUGAUGCCUACAUCCAAACUUCUCUUCUAAUGGAAGUGAUGCAGAAUUCCCUUAAGAUAAUUAUGACCAUUAACAUGUAUUACACAUGGUACGACCAAACCACACACGUCCACACUGAACUGGAGUUUCAAGCACAUUACGAGAAUGAAGACACACGAAUAGAAUAUACACAGUGAAUCCAAAAACUUGACAUGAUUGCUUGUAGCAGAUCCUUGAAAACAAAGAAACCCAACAAUGUCCUGCAUCAAUCCUGAGGACUCAAUAAUGUGUAGACAACAGAAGUGAAUAUUGAAAGGAUCAAGGCCGGAUUCUAGUUGAAAUUGAAACUUUUGCUGCACUACAGUUGACAAAUUUCCCGGUCUGAUUUCACCUGCGCAAGUAAUUUAAGAUCUGAAAUUAUAGUUUUUCCUCACUGUUCAACGAUCAAUACACAAGGGUUCUGAAAUUAUAGUUUUUCCUGACUGUUCAACAAUCAAUACACAAGGGAAAAUGGUCGGGGUCAACUUCAGGAUCUGUGAUGAACACUUCAUCUCUAAUGUUGAGACAAAAAUUAGAAGCAACCACAAUUAGAAAACACUUUAUAGCAUUAGGAAGCUGCGUACUAUCAAAUAUAUUGAGGAAAAGAAAAAACAUAUGUAUGAAAUUAGAUUAAUAAUUAAAGGUUGAUGAUAUUGCAUAAAAUGAAAAACUUACAUCUAAUUAAAUCCAUGCGAAUCAAAUUCCAUAAGGAUAUACUUGAUUGUCAUACUGCGCCUUAUCCUCAAAGUCUCGUAGCUUUUGUCUCAGCUUCGGCUAAGGCCUCGAAUUUGUUUAAGCUCUUUAUGCACCAAAGCUAUUCAGGAAUCUUUUUCCAGUAAGCACAAGUAUUGAGAAUCAAGCAUUCUAGUUUUGGCCUGGCUCCAAGCCUCAUGGUCCACUCCUCUAGCCAUGGCAUUGAAUUCAGGUGCACUAUCUUGAGCUUUGGGAAACCAUCAGACCUACAAGUCAGCUAUCGACCUGAAUAUGAGUUUUGCUUCAGUUUGAGCACUUGAAGAAGUGGCAACUUUUCUAGUGUUCAAGUGCAGGCAUGGGAUCAUCCAUUUGUUCAGUAUUAGAGAAACUCAAGUGGAUUAGACUUUGACGAAGUAGGUAUUUGGCACAGACGAUUUUGGAGAGCCUUGGCAUCUUGCUUUCAUUCACCAUCUUCAAUGACUAGAUGCAUGAGUUUAUUCAUCUUCCAAAAUUCAUCUACAGUGUAUGAUCUAUUUAGCUAAAGGGCAUGGCUAUGGGGUACAGAUUCAGAGAUUUCUUAAUAAUGAUGAAGCCAGGCUUUUGAGGGAAGGGAUAUUCAGCUUCAAAUAUCAAAAGAAAUAAAGUUUCAAUUUUGGAUGGAAAUUGGCUGAGAACAAGAGAUCCCAAGUCCAUUACUCAACCGAUUUUCACCCAAUCUAUGGGGUCAAGGUGGUCGCUUUCUGAAGUACAACAAAGAAUGCAGGUGCGAGUCACAAUCAUCUAAGUAAGCAAAAUCACUCUGUUUUUAAAAAACGUACACACGUUUGACAUUUUUUCGCAAUUUACCUUUUUGAUCCAGGAUAGGGGAAAAGGUAAAUUUCGCUUUGAGAGCCAUUUGCAACAAUGAAGCCCAGCAACGACUACGAAUAGGGCAUGUGUUGAUUCUACCUCCAUCGCUUCUCUUCUUUGCAUCAACAAAGACUCUAUUCAUUAGUUGUUCCAAGUACUUCUCGGCAAUUGCCUCGCUAUUGUCUGGAAUGAAACCUUCAGAUAUCCACAACUGAUAUAACUGCCUGGUGGAUGUCUCUAGGUGUACAGGAAACAUAGAUAAGUAAGGAAAACAAAGUUUCAAGCAAAAAGGUAAACAACUCUCAAUGGUCCUCUAGUAGGCACUAAAUCAAGCCAAAUAUUCUGUCCACUUUUAAACUGAAAUGAGGUGACGAUAUGAAUUUCAGUGAGUGUUAUUAGUACUCCACUUCCAUUCUGAUUAUCCGGAAGUAUUUCUUGAAUAACAUCCCACACUUCAAUGCUUCACACAUCAUCAACCACAAUCAAAUACCGCUUGAUCAUUAGAUAUUCAUGAAGAAAUUUGUUUUCAUUUCAUAAUUUUUAUCCUUUAUUACACUCAACCUAGAUGAAGGCAUUAGAAACUUAAUAAUGAUAUCUAAUAUUUGGUCAUCAUCACCAUCAUAGCUGUAAGGCUUUGGAACCUAAGCGUGACAAUUAAAAUAAUGCUUCACAUCACUGCUGCAUUAAGCCUCUGCAGCAAAAGCCACAUUGCCCAACCCAACGCUAUCAAGAUGGCCACCACUGAAAGCUGAGGUGGCCCCUCUAUUAAUAUAUCUAACAACUCCUCCAUUUUGUCUUCUAGACCCACCGUGCCCCUAUGUCCUUGUUGAGUGAUGCUGUUGAGAAUGUGUCAAUGACCUUCUCAGAUUCAUAUGUAAAGCAAUUGAUUUCUGGUGCCAAGGUCUGGGUUGUCAAUUUCAUCUUCUCCUAUUUUUUUGCAGCAGAAGCUAGGACAUAUCAUAUUCAAAGUCCCUCAGCCAAGGAGUAACGAUUUCAACCUCGGCACAAAGGUUUUGAAUAGGUUGUUUUGCAGCAUCAGGCAAUGUGACUUCUUCGCUAGCUAACGUCCUUCUCAGCCUCUCUGAAAAUAGUCUGAAGUUGAUGCCCAUAUCUCCUCAAUCCAAAAAUUAGUGCUGGCUCCCAUGCCUCCCUUCUCUUAGCUAGUACUCCACCCAAGCAGUUGAAUCAAGAUUGCUGACUCUCAAAUUAGAACAGAUCAAGGCAGAGCAGUGCGGGAAAUGAAUCUCACGAUACUCAGUCUUCCAUAUGUUGCAAAAAGAAUAAAGCAAAGAGAAAUAACUACAACAUCAUCAAGUAUCAAUCAAGACCAAUUUGUUUUAUACAUCCACUGUCAAUAAAGAAAGGGUGAAAACAAUUCCACUGGGACCAUAAAGCUUAUCUAAAAAGAAAAGAACAGAGUAAGCACAAGAGCAUUAUCAAUUAUUUAACAAUUUAAGCUGUGGAAAAAUAGAAAAUCAUGCCUGCCACUUAUUAAAGAAGCAAUAACAUAGCAACGUCAUAAAAGCAAUGGAUACAAUCAUUGCUAUAUGUUGAAAUUAACUAACUUCACAAUCUGGACAUGAACUCAUUUGAUUGCAACCAUUAAGUAGACUUAUAGAUCACAUGACACAUGAUCUUAUAAAUGGACUAAACAUAACAAAACACACAUCUCCAUGUCCAGGCUUUGGUGGCUACAUAAUUACAAAACAGCAUGUAAGUAUAUAAAUACAGAAAAAAAUUAUAAGACACAAAAUUUGUUCACAAAGUAAGAAAUUACCUCUUGUUGAUGAGUCCAGAAAUGACCGAGGUGUAGUUUUAAUUGAGCUGACGAUCUUCCUCCACAUACAUCACCAUUUUUUCUUUUUUGGACGCAAUGAGACAUGACUUGGCAUCAUUGUCAUUGAAAUACACCAGAUAUUUCUAGAAUGCCUGCGAAUCUAAUUUAUUUCCAAACACACUUGAGAAUUGGGAUUGUCAAUAAAAGAUGAACAUUGAUCAUUGAUGUGUAGGUUUCAAGUAUUUUGUGUAUGAUGCGGAGAUAAAUUAGAACUCUACAUGACCAUCUGAAGAAUUUUUUCUCAAAUGAAUCUUUUGAGUUGGAAUUUAGACAGAUUCACUAUCUAAGUAUCUUGAAGCAGUGGAGAAUACAUAUGACAAAGGUUGAAGUAACUAAUUUUAUGAGCAGGAACUGAAAUGAUUUUGGCAUGAGAUUACAACAGGUGAUUAACAUAUAUGCUUCGUCUAAGGCAGCCUCAUUUUAAGUGUUAUUUCAUCAGGUCAACAAUCUUCAGGAGAAAAAUGAAUCAAGGGCAAUAAAGGAGGUGGUUGAUGCUAGUGAUUCCUGAGUGUAGCAGCAAAAAUAAAACUAAAUUGUAGAUUUGCUGUAGUCUUACAAUAGACUCACCCUGUCCUUGUCCUUGUCCUUGUCCUUCUUCUUAUACUGAUGAAUAUGAGGCCGAUGAUAUUUCUGUGAAUAAAGAAAAUGAUAAUAGAAAUGGAACCAUUGGGCAAAUGGUACUGCUGUACCGUACAUCCGCCUUGGCCGUACAGCAGCAUCAGUAUGAUAAAAACUGUAAAAAAAAAGGGCUUUCCUAGAGGUGUAAAUAUCAUGACCCUCACUAGAGAUACCAAGAAAGUCAGCUAGGUCCGCAUCAUCAAAUUCAAUAGGCACAUCGCCGACUUGAGUAACUAUCCUAUUUAGGCGAGUUGCGAAGAUUUCCAUGUUCGAAUAAAAGACUCGUACUAAGUUGGGAUAAACUCGGUCAUCAAAGUCAAUGGCAGACUCCCAAGGCUGAAGCAUAUCCCUAAUACUUCUACCACAUACAACUAAGGUACUGAAAUCAUCUAUUUCAACAUAAGAAGAGUCAAGUACCUUUCGACCAUUGAAGCGAUUCUCGAACCGCUUGGCCAAGGAAGGCAUGGCAAAACUUAAUUAAGGCAAAUGGGUAUUCAACCACGUUGAGUUUUAUUCAACGUGGGUAUUAAUGGAUGAAUGAUUUUGGUAGAAUUAAAGUUUUUUUUUUCCGUUUUUGUUUCAUUUGUCAACUCCAUUUAAUCAAUUAAUCUCAAUGGCUAUAAGGAUCAUUUUUAAUGCAAACGGGUAUUUCUUUGCUGCAAAAGACGGCUUUGGUGUGAUUGUAAGGAAUUGAGAGUGAGCAGCACAUCCUGCGUGCCAUCAACUUCUUUGCACUACAGGCACCCUCUGCAUGCUGUGAAGGGAAAAAUGUGAAAACCAUUGCAUGCUGUGGGGCUGCUAAUCAAUCAAUAGAGAAAGAAUUCAGUAAUCAAUUCUAGCAAAGCUUCCAAAACGUGCAGCACUAUAGAUUAAAUCUUCCACUUUCAGAACUUUACUCAUUAAUCUUCUGCUCCAAAUCACCAAUGAUUAGUGCUGGUUUUUUAUUUUACAAGGGCUUAAUCUCCAUAUAUCUGAAGACUAUGAAGAUUAGGCAAUAUGCCCCAAUUUCUUUUUGUUGUGUUUAAUCCUCUGACAGUACCAAGAUCAAACACCUUAGACCAUCUUUGAUUUGAUGUAUAAAGACUCGUUCUCCGAAAUCCAAACUAAAAAUUGAAUCAAAGUGCCUAAAUCCAGUGAAGACAAGGAUACAAGCUUUCAAGCUUUCACUAUUUCACAAAUCAAGGUUACCAGGAUGUAGAGCUUGUUACAGAGAACAAGAAUAUACAACUUUCUACUUUAACUCUCUCUCUCUCUCUCUCUCUCUCUCUCCAUAGCUUUGAUGAGAUCUGAGAAGAUGACCCAUCAACCAGCCUUAUAAACUAUGAUAAGGCCAUCUCUAACAAUCCCAGAAUUUUCCUGCACUUUUUUAACUAACCCCAACUGACUUUUGACCAGCAUUCUCGCCCUUAUAAUGACUGACACGUCGGUGAAAUUCCAAAAAACCGAACAACAAUGUCGUUCUGCCAGUGUUGAGAUGAUGAGAUGAGAUCAAAGCACAAAUACUUUUCUUCUAACUGAAGUACUAAGCUUGAAGUUGAACUGUACCGCUACUUAAAAACUAGAGAAAGAAAUAAAAUAAAAAUAAAAACAUAACAUAUAUCAAUUUGAAUGUUGACAAAUUGAAUACACACCAGUGAAACUGAAAAUAGAAAGUAAAACAAUUAAUCAGACUUUUGUACAAUAUAUUAAUCUGAACAUGACAUUAUUACUUUUAGCAUGCAAAUCCUUGACAAUUUGAAUGUUGACAAAUUGAAUACACACUAACUGAAGUACUAAGCUUGAAGUUGAACUGUACCGCUACUUAAAAACUAGAGAAAGAAAUAAAAUAAAAAUAAAAACAUAACAUAUAUCAAUUUGAAUGUUGACAAAUUGAAUACACACCAGUGAAACUGAAAAUAGAAAGUAAAACAAUUAAUCAGACUUUUGUACAAUAUAUUAAUCUGAACAUGACAUUAUUACUUUUAGCAUGCAAAUCCUUGAAAACAAAGAAACCAAACAACGUGUAGACAACUCAGCAGAAGUGAACACUGAAAGGAUGAAGGCUGGAUUCUGGUUGAAAUUGAAACUUUGGCUGCAGUACAGUUAAGAUAUUUUCCGCUGUGCUUUUACCUGCACAUACAACUGAUUGAAGAUCUUAUCAUACAGUUUUUAAUGAAUGGUGUCAGCAUCAGGAACUGUGAUGGACACUUCAAGUUUAUGUUGAGACAAAAAUUAGAAGCAACCACAAUUAGAAUGUAGAAAACACUUUAUAUUAUGAUUAUAGUUUAGGCAGCUGCAUACUAUCAAAUCUUUUGUGGAGAAAAAAAAAACUUUUAUAUGAAAUUAGAUCGAUAAUUAAAGGUUGAAGUUAUUGGGGAAGAAGAAAAAACUUACAUCAAACUCAAUCAGGGCUAAUCAAAUUCCGUAAGGAUAAAUCUGAACGCCAUACUGCUCCUUAUCCUUGAAUUCCCGUAGCUUUUGUCUCAGCUCUGGCUGAGGCCACCAGCAAUCGAAUUUGUUUAAGCUCUUUAUGCACCAGAGCUAUUCAGGAACCCUUUUUAAGUAAGCACAAGGGUUGAUAAGCACGCAUUCUAGUUUUGGCAUGGCCCCAGUCCCCAUAGUCCACUCCUCUAGCCAUAGCAUUGAUUUCAUGUGCAAUACCUUAAGCCUUGGAAAACCAUCAGAACCACAAGUCAGCUUUCUACCUGAAUACGAGUUUUGCUUCAGUUUGAGCACUUGAAGAAGCGGGAGCUUUUCUAGUGUCGGCAUGGGAUCAUCCAUUAGGUUAGUAUUAGAAAAACUCAAGUGGGUUAGACUAUGAGGAAAUAGGUAUUCAGCAAGGAUGAUUUUGGAGAGCCGUGGCAUCUUGCUUUCGUUCACCAACUUCAAUGACUCGAGGCAGCUCAAUCUGCAAAUACUUUGGGACAACAAAAAUUGAUAAUAACUUAAAUCUCCCCAUAUGCAGAGAUUUCGAAGACUAGGCAGUCUGCCCAAUAUAUCUUCAGUACAGCAGCAAGGAUGCAAGGCCGAAAUGAAAUUGACAUUUUCCAGAGAGCCGCAAUAUUUUCCUGGACGUGCAGGAAGUAUGAUUGAGCCAAAAUUUAGAUGCCUGAGUUUGUUCAUCUUCCAAAACUCAUCUGCUGUAUGAUCUAUGUCGCUAAAAAGCAUAUUGAGUGUGUACAUGUUCGAAAGAUAGUUGAAAAAUGAUGAAGGAAGGCUUUUCAGGGAAGGGAUAUUCAACUUCAAAUAUCUUAAAAGAGAUAAAUUUUCAAUAUUGGACGGAUAUUGGUUGAGAACAAGGGAUCCUAAGUCUAAUACUCUGAGAAGUUUGUACAUUUCACAAAUUUUCUGCCAAUCUAUGGGGUCAAAGUGGUCGCUUUCUGAAGUGAAGUACAACAAGGAAUGCAGGUGCGGGUAAUAAUCAUCUAAGUAAGCAAAAUCGCUCUGUUGUUCUAGAGCACAGAAACGUUUGACAUUUUUUCGUGAUUCACCUUUUGCAUCCAGGGUAGGGGAAAAGACAAAUUCAGCAUUCAAAGCCACUACAAGCAAUGAAGGCCAACAACGACUACGGAUAGAGCAUGUGUUGAUUGUGCCUCCAGCUCUUCUCUUCUUUACUUCAACAAAGCCUCUAUUGAUUAGUUGUUCUAAGUACUUCUCAGCAGUUGCCUCGCUGUUGUCUGGAAUGAAACCUUCAACUAUCCACAACUGAUAUAACUGCCUGGUGGAUAUCUCUAGGUGUGCGGGAAACACAGGUAAGUAAAGACAACAAAGUUUCAAAGGAAAAGGUAACAUGCAAUGUGCGACGGAUUGAAGGAAAAGGGGCUUAUCAAUUGCUUCCCUUUUAUUUUCUUCUAAUGAGAUGCUUCCAUGGUAUAGGAUGUGGAAAGGCCAUCCUUGGUAUGUCACUCGCAAUGGUCCUCCAGUUGGCACUAAAUCAAGCUGAAUAUUCUGUCAGUUUUCGAACUGAAAUAAGAUGACGAUAUCAAUUUUAGCGAGCGUUAUUAGUACUCUAUGUUGAUGCUGAAAUCUGCUCGCCCUUUGCCCGACAAGAUUUUUACACUAACGUUCACGUUAUCAAUAAUGAAGAUAUCAAUUCCUUCUUACUUCAACGAUUGCUCCAGCCACUGAAGUUGGAGUUGUCCCUUUUUUUCUCACUAAGCCUGCGUUCACAAAAGUGGAUCAGAGACACCGGUGGUUUUGCCGGCGCAAACCCUCUGAUGCCUAAGUUAGCUAAAGGUGUUUAUGGGAAAACGGUGCAAUUAGGGUUCAAAUAAUUUCUUAGAAUUAGCUCACUCUCGGUAUUAAAAAGCGUCUGGAUACAAUUUGGCAGAGUUUUCCCUUCUCUCAUUUUUUCUUCCCUUUUCUUCAUUGAUUUCUUCUUCUUUUAUAGCCGCUGUCCCACGUUCCUGUUUAGCCUUAAUCCCUCCUUUUUCGGGUGGUGGCAGCCCCUCAUGGGACUCUAACUGCUACAUUAUGGGCAAACGUGGGAUCUCGCGUCUCCCGCAACGGUUCUGGAAAAAGCGCAACUACCGUGAUUCUGUGGGAUCGUGUUCCCACUUUUUCGGGGGAUGGGUAUCGGCUCGGUAUAUACCUCUGGUCAGUAUACUCCCCUGGUUGGUACUCGUCUCUAGUCUGCUCAUAUUUGUCCCCGUGUUCUGCUCGUACCAUUUGGCUGAGAUGAUCCAUGCCGGGGCAGAAAUAGUAGCAUGGCCGACCUGAUGCUUUUAUUUACUUAACACCAGUCCCCCAGUUUAUGGUCUUGCAAGUGAAAUGAAUUAAGAAUAGAAACUGAUAGUCAAAUGUUACCAACCCGGGGGCUUCUCAUCUGGUCUUCUAUUUACCGGGACGGACCUGAGGUACCAUUUUUCUUCUGGGGAGGUUCCGACCUGAGCAUGGGCCUUAAUGAGCAUAUCCAUUGCAUAUCUGGGCUUGCAUCUAGCCUGGCCUCUUGUAACGGUUAGUGACGUGGCAUCUCCAGACUGUUCGUAUUUGAAAUUUGAAACGACGGGCUAUUCGUCCUCGAUAUACGGUAAGUGAGCUGGCAUCUUUAUCACUUAAAUGCUUUCAUUUCCUCCUUUUCGUUUCAAAUCCCUAGACUUACAUCAUCAUCGUUUUGUUAUUCGUCUCUCCGUCGUUAACCUACCCCCUCUUUGAACUUUACUUACACUUCCCGUGUUCGGAGUAUCUACUUGCUGGGUUUUUUCUCUGUCACGGCAGCGCUAUCAGGGCCAGUUCAUUCCAGGUAUUGCUUUUAAUCUCUUCCCUGGUUGUUGUUGAUUGGGUUCUGUGUUGCCCCCUUUUGUAUCCGUAUACUUGAGUUUUCUUUGUUUUCUUUUGGGAUUCUGAUAUGUCAAAUCGGAAAAGGAAGUUAAUUGUUGAUGAGAGUGAUGAAGAAACAGGGGAUUCAGACCUUAACGUGUCAAUACCCACCGAUUUCUUAGGUCCCUCCAGUAGUGUAGGUCCUUCCCAUGGCAGGGAUAUCCUUGAAUACCCACGCCCCCUGACCAUUUCGCCUUCCCCUGAAUUAGAGCUUGUGGGGAAUAGAGGUGGACCCACAUCCAGCUCUGGUGAAGAUCACAGUUAUGGUGGGGUUGGGGUCCCUGAAGAAGUGGGUGAUGGCGAGAGAAGCAGUUCCGAGCCGAGCGGACCCUCUAGGAAAAGGAACUUUGGCCACAUAGUGGAGGCAGAUUCUUACCCUAUUGAUUUCAUAGCUUGUGCCACCACCCCCACUGAUCUAUUAAAGCUUAGGAACCUCUACAACAUUCCUGAGGAGGUUCUCCUUGUAGUUCCUGGGAAAGGUGAUGUACCUAGUCGGCCUCCGAAGGGGUACGUGACGAUGCACUUGGAGAGUUUCAGACUAGGAGCUCGGCUGCCCCUUCAACGUUAUUUUGCCAAGAUAUUGGGUGGUAUGCACCUGGCCCCAGGUCAGCUACACCUAAACGGGUGGAGGGUUCUCUCGGCUAUGUUUGUGCUGUGGGAGAGGUGCGGGUCGGAGGAGCCUUCCCUUGUUGAAGUGAAGCAUCUGUACCAGCUGCGAAGCAGCCCAAAGGAGGCGGGCUGGUACUACUUCAUGUCCAGUUUUGCAAAGAGGAAACCGAUCACUGGGUUUCCUUCUUCAUGUAAGAAUUGGAAGAACAAAUUCUUCUUUGCUGGAGGAAACUGGUGUCCAGCAGUCCGGUCGCUUGGUGGGGAUAUUUACCUUCCAAUGCAUUUUAUCACCCCAGGUCGUUCAUUUUUGCCUAUAUUCUUAAUCAAAAUUGCUACUUAUUGAGUUCUUUAACCUUGUUUGUUUUUUUCAGAAUCUUGGGGUUUGGUUAAGGACCUUGAAGACCGACCCUUGCUCCAGGUUGAAACUACUCUGGUGAACGCGUCUACCUGCCAAGACCUGCUGUCACUAAUAAACUUGGUCGGUUCGGGCUUAGUGGACAUUGUUGCCUGGAUGGAUAACAAUAUCCUCAGUGCAAUGAGCAGAAAGCGUGGUCGGGCUCCGAGCAGCUCCAGCAACCCUCCUCCUCCUCCGAAGAAAGUCAGUGUUAGCCCUUCUAAGGCUUCUGUUCCUGCUCUGCCCCCUCCUCCACCUAGUAAGAGUGUCGGGGAGAAAACUAUUGACAAGAGUUCUGAGGUCAGUACACGCUCUGGGGACCGAUCCUCCCCUCUUCCAGCUCGUGAUCAGGGUGACUACCUGAUCCUGUAUCAGAGGGACUAUGGGAAGUCAGUGGGACCGAAGAUGGUCCAGGACAUUGAGAGCAUGAAUCUCAAUGAAUUAGUUGGUUCUGUCCAAAGGGUCUCCUUCAAGUUGGCCACUCUAGUAUCUUGUUACAAGAAUAGGAUCACGCGCCAAGAGAGGAAGCUCCAAGCUGAGAACCAGGACUUGAAGAAGAGGGUUGAGUCUGUUGAUCGCUCGAAGGAGAAGCUGGUCGAGCUGAACGGGUAGAUUAUGGAGCUAGAGGAGAAAGUUGCGGUUGCUGAGUCCACUUCCUCCAAACUUGAGGGUGAGUUGGGUGACCUGAAGUCUGAUCUUCAGGUUACUCAAAGUGAAAGAGAUACUCUGAGGACUGCCCUUGAGGGAGAAAUCAAAUCCUUGAGUGAGCAGCUGGCUGAGGAGAAAGGUAAAUCCGCUGACGUGGACGAUCGGCUGGAUGCCGAGUAUGACUCUGGGGUUGUUUUCUCCUAUAAGUGCAUCAUGUCUGUGCUUAAGGAAGAAUAUCCCGAGCUGGACAUGAGCAAGCUGGAGGCUGGAGUAUAUGGCAGAGAUCGGCCAGGCAGAUAAAGAGUAGGGUGAGCAGGAUCAAGUGGAGGCUCCUUUAGAUGGGGUGCAGGAGGGGGAAGUUGGGGGACAUGCUUUUGAAGUGGGACAAGGGUCCGUGCCUCCUCCUCCCGGUAUUGCUGAUCUUCCACCUCCAGAGAUAGCUGAUCCUUCACUUGCUAAAGCCGUUGACCCUCCUAAUCCUUAGGUCUAUUUUUGUAUAGACUCUAGAUUUUCAUUCGUUUUGUAAACAUUUAAAUGCUUAUAAAUUUUUAGAUGUUCUUUACUGGCUUUCUUGUCUGGUUUUUGCUCAUGGAUUGUUUCUGCAAAUUAAUUUGACAAUUUAUCUGAUUUUGCUUGUUGGUUCUUUAGUGGACCGAGUAGGAAUAUGCAUCCGCUUGCCUUAGUAAAUUUUUGCAAAAUUGCCUGUUGGUCGUUUGUUGACCGAUCAAGAGCAGGCACUUACUUGCCUUAGUAGAAUUUUCGUAAAAUUGGCUGCUGGUCUUUCGUUGAUCGAGCAUAAGCAGGCACUUACUUGCCUUUGUAAAAAUUUAUUGAAAUUGCCUGCUGGUCUUCGUUGAUCGAGCAGGAAUAGGCACUUGUUUGCCUUUGUGGAAAUUUCGUAAAAUCGCCUGCUGUUCUUUCGUGGGCCGAGCAGGACCAGGCACACACUUGCCUUGGUAAGAAUUUCAUAAAUUUAGCUGUUGGUCUUUCGUUGACUGAGCAGGAGCAGACACUUACUUGCCUUAGUAGAAUUUUCAUAAAUUUAGCUGCUGGUCUUUCAUUGACCGAGCAGAAGCAGACACUUACUUGCCUUAGUAGAAGUUUCGUAAAUUUAGCUGCUGGUCUUUUCGUUGACCGAGCAGAAGCAGGCACUUGCUUACCUUAGUAGAAUUUUCAUAAAUUUAACUGCUGGUCUUUCGUUGACCGAGUAGAAGCAGACACUUACUUGCCUUAGUAGAAUUUUCGUAAAUUUAGCUGCUGGUCUUUCGUUGACCGAGCAGAAGCAGACACUUACUUGCCUUGGUAGAAUUUUUUUUUAUUGGGUUUGCUAGCAGGGGGAUUUCGUGCUGAAUUCAUCUUUAUUGAAAUUUGAAUGCAUUACAGGAACACAGAAUAUAUGUAUGUGCAACAAGCCAUCAUGCAUUUAAUAGAAAUAACUUAUGAAGACUUAGUAGAGCACUUUGCUUACUGGAAAUACUUCUUCAAGUGCUCGGCGUUCCACAACCUCUUUACGUCUCGUCCAUCUGUGUACACUAACUUAUAAGCUCCUGGUCCAGUUGCUCGUAUCACCCUGUACGGGCCUUCCCAUUUCGGGCCAAGAGCGCCAUGGUUGGGAUCCCUGGUGUUUUGGUUCACCUUCCUAAGCACCCAAUCUCCUGGUCGGAACUGCCUCACGCGUACGUUCUUGUUGUAAUAACGCGUGACCCUUUGCUGACAUUGGGCCACUUUCUGCGAGGCCCCUUCCCUUUUCUCCUCCAGCAGGUGCAGGCUCAAGAAGAUCUGCUCGCCAUUUUGCUCCUCAUUGAAGUAUUCCGUCCGAUGUAUUCGUACUCCAAUUUCUGCUGGGACUACCGCCUCAUGACCAAAAGCUAAGGCAAAUGGGGUUUCCUCUGUAGCGGUUUUGUGAGUUGUCCGGUAAGCCCACAGUACCCCUGGUAGCUCGUCAACCUAAGCUCCCUUCUUCUCUCCCAGUCUAGUCUUCAGGAGUUUCUUUAUCACUUUGUUGGCUGCUUCCACUUUUCUGUUUGCCUGGGGGUGUGCGGGGGUGCAGAACUUCAGGUCCACCCCUAGGUUCCGGCAAAAUUCUCUGAAGUUGUUGUCAAAUUGCCUUCCAUUGUCGGUGAUGAUGGUAUAAGAGAUUCCGUAUCUGCAGAUGAUAUUCUUCCAAAUAAAAUCCGUUGUCUUUCUCUCCGUGAUUUGGCUAAGGACCCCCACUUCUAUCCACUUGGUGAAAUAGUCUAUUGCUACAAUUGCAUGGGUUGCCGCUCCUCGGCCUUUCAGUAACGGACCAAUCAGGUCGAUUCUCCAUUGAGCAAAAGGCCAUGGGGAUGUCAUAGUGGUGAGCUUUUCUGGGGGUUGUGCGGGAACCUCUGAGAAGCUUUGGCAGAUUUUGCAACUCUUUGCCAUCCUUUUCGCAUCCUGGUGCAUGGUCGGCCAAAAGUAUCCUUGCCGGAGUGCCUUGAAGGCUAAAGUUCUUUCUCCUGAAUGAUUUCCACAUAUUCCUUCAUGAAUCUCCCUUAGUACAUAGUCUGCCUCCUCAUCAUCCAAACAUCGCAAAAGGGACAAGGUGAAUUCUCGGCGAUAGAGCACCCUAUCGAGCAGUGCAUACCUCGCUGCUCGGCGUUUUAACUUUCUUGCUUGCCUUUUGUCCUCCGGUAAAAUGCCAUCGCGGAUGUAUGCGAGAAUCGAGUCCAUCCAAGAUUCUUCGAUGCUUAUUCUCAUUACCUCUACUUCCUCUCCUAUACUCGGCGAGGCCCUCAUCUUUAGUGGAACUGACUUAGGUAAUUUGGGAUCUACUGUUGCAGCCAUUCUUGCCAACAUGUCUGCUCGGUAAUUUUCAUUCCAGGAUAUCUGCUUCACCUCUACCUUUUUGAAGAGUUCAACCAUUUGUUUCGCCUUCUUCAAAUAAAGCCCCAAUUUCUCUUCCCUUACUUGGAAUUGAUCACUGAGCUGAUUACAUAUUAGCUGGGAAUCUGCUUGGAUUUCUACUCUUUCUGGGCUUCGGAUUAUAACUCCUGCUCUAGAUCCCUGUUCACUACGUGACCCAUCAACCAUUACCAGCCACACCCCCUUUGGAUCCUUCUGUUCCACUAGUUGUUCCUCCUGGACCUCUUCCCCUGGUUCAACACGGUCAACCAUAAAAUCAGCCAGGGCUUGGGCCUUGAUUGCUCCUCGGGGCCUAUAGGACAGGUCGAAUUCGCUCAGCUCCAUGGACCACUUUACUAACCGCCCUGAUGCAUCUGGUUUUUGGAGCAUUUUCCGGAGAGGUUGGUCGGUCAUCACAAUUAUCGGGUGGGCCUGAAAAUAUGAUCGCAGUUUUCGUGCUGCCGUUUUUAAAGCCAGUGCCCAUUUCUCCAUCAAUGGGUACCUAGUUUCUGCGUAUACCAGGGCUUUGCUAGUGUAAUACACAGGGUGUUGCUUCCUUUCUUUUUCUCGGACUAACACUGAGCUGGUGGCCCAUUUUGAGAUUGCCAAGUAUAAAAACAGUUGGUCACCUUCUCUCGGAGUUGAUAGUAAUGGGGCGUGAGCCAGAUAUUCCUUCAGCUGCCCAAACGCUUCCUCACAUUCUGAUGUCCACUCCAUCUUUCUCCCUUUCUUUAUGGUUUCGAAAAAAGGGUGGCAUUUAUCUGUGGCCCGCGAGAUGAAUCGGUUCAAUGCUGCCAAUUUCCCUGUAAGGCUCUGCACCUCCUUAACUGUUCGUGGGGACCUCAUUUCUGUUACCGCCCGUAUUUUUUCUGAGUUGGCCUCGAACCCUUGGUGGCUCACCAGGAACCCCAAAAAUUUGCCAGAGCUGACCCCAAAUGCACAUUUCUCCGGGUUUAGCUUCAUUCCAUACUUCCUCAGUAGUUCAAAGGUCUCUUCCAAAUGUUUCACGUGAUCACUCGGUUCUUUGGACUUUGUGAUCAUAUCAUCCACAUAUAUCUCCAUAGUAUGACCGAUCAAUUGCUUGAAGAUCUUGUUCACCAACCUUUGAUAGGUGGCUCCUGUAUUUUUCAGGCCAAAAGGCAUCACCCUGUAGCAAAACAAACCCAUGUUAGUUAUAAAGGUGGUGUUUUCCUCAUCCUGCUCGUCCAUGGGUAUCUGGUUGUAUCCCGAAAAGGCAUCCAUGAAGCUGAGCAGACUGUGACCCGCUGUUGAGUCCACCAAUUGAUCUAUCUUUGGUAGGGGAAAACUGUCAUUCGGACAUGCCUUAUUAAGAUCUGUGAAAUCCACACACAUCCUCCAUUUUCCGUUGGCCUUCUUUACCAGUACUACAUUGGAAAUCCACUCUGAGUACUUGGCCUCCCUUAUAAAUCCUGCUUUCAAUAGUUUCUCCACCUCGGCAUUUAUGGCCUCGUACCUUUCCUAGUUAAAGCAUCUUCUCUUCUGCUUCACCGGCCUCGCCUCAUUCUUGAUUGCCAACUUGUGGCAAGCUACCCCGCGAUCAAUUCCUGGCAUAUCCUCGUGAGACCAGGCGAAUAUAUCUGCAUGAGACUGUAGGCACUUUACCAGCUCGCCUCUUACUGUCCCAACCAAUCCUGAACUGAUCUUAACCACUCUGCUCGGGUUGCUUUUGCUUACCGCAACUUCUUCCAGUUUCUCAACGGGUUCUUGGCGGCCCUUUUUAGACUCUCCUCGGUUAUCUAGAGAAGUAACCUGUAGUGUCUCCUUGGCCGCUGUAGCAUAACAACUCCUUGCCAUUCUCUGGUCGCCUUUUACUACACCAACCACUCCAUUUACUCUGUAUUUCAGUGCCAGAUAAUGCGUAAAUACAACGCAUUGGCUUAUCCUCAUGAAGGGUCUCCCCAGUAUCAUCUGGUAAGGGCUUCUUUCCUCUACCACGACAAAGUCCAGCAUCAUCGUUCUUUCAAACGGCUUUGUCCCCACAGUAAUUGAGAGUUCGAUGAUCCCCAUGGGAGUUAACCGUCCCCCUCCAAAUCCCUUUAAGGAUGUAUUUGUCCGUUCUAAUUUCAAGUCUGCAAUUCCCAUAUCAUCUAGGGCCGACUUAAACAGGAUGUCAACCGAGCUGCCCGUGUCUACCAGUAUUCGUCCCAAUUCUGUACCAGCCACCAUUGCCUUAAUCACCAGUGCAUCCUCAUGAGGAUAUAAGAUACCCUCUUCAUCGUCAUCUGUCCAUAUAAUGGGAACUUGCCGCACUUUUGCCUUCUUGGUUGCUGGCAAAUUGAAAAGCACCUCUUUGCUAGUCAUGGCGUAUCUCCCAUAGUUCUUCCGUGCCUUGUUCGAAUCCCCAGCCAAUGUUGGCCCUCCUGCUAUCACACGGAUAGUCGGCUGUUCACAUUCCAGGCCCCUCUCAGCUCCUUCAUCCCGCGUGUACUGUGAUUCAAUGACGGAGGACACCCCAUCUACAUAUUUAUCCAAAUAACGGUUUCUCACCAAAUCCUCCACCUGGAUCUUUAAGUCACGACAUUGGCUGAUUGUGUGACCGUGAGUGUCGUGAAAUUUGCAAAAUCUGCUCUUAUCCCGUCGGUGAGCAGGUUUUGUUAUAGGGGUUGGAGGGUACAACAGGCCUCGUCCCUCGAUUCUCUCGUACAACUCCUCCAUAGGGACUUUUAACGGGGUGUAUUGUCUAUACGCUGAGCUCUGGUCAAUUAGCUGGACUACUCGGCUAUUAUGAAUAUUGUCCCAAGCGGAUAUUGAAGGUAGCUGACCUGAUCGUCCCGUUCUGGAGUUGGCCGUGUGUAGUGCUUUGGGAGCGUUGUGAUAAGGAUGGUUAGCCAACUGCCGGAAUUCUCGUUGCCGCUCCAGGAAUGGGGGGCGCGGGGGCUGAGCCCUGUUGCGGUCUCUGAGCCAUGGGGUAAGGGCGAGACCGAGCUGAUACCGCACCCAUCAUUGAGGAUUCCCCAGCUCGCUUUCCCGACUCGCUCCCACUUGGGGUUCUCUUUUCCUUUCGUCUCAGCUCCUCCAGCUGUUCACUCUUUAUCCUUGCCGAUUUUUCCUCUUCAAUUUCAAUGUCUCUCUUUGCCUGCUCAUACCUCGCUGAGUAAUUCUGCACCAGGAGACUUCUCAGGUUAUACCAUAGCCAGCCUAUCCUCACACCCUCCUUUAAUCCGCUUAACGCCUGCGGGUGAUUGAAAGCUCCCAAAUUAAACACGGCUCGGUGGUAUCGUUUUACAAAAUCUCGAAGGGAUUCUUGUUCCUCCUGCUUCAUCCCCAUUAGUUCCAUCAUAUCAUCCUCUGGGGCCAUUGCUCCUCGGAACUGUUCGACUAACUCUUGGCACAUCUGCUCGUACCCUCUAAUACUUCCUCGUGACAGCUUGCGGUACCAUUCUCGAGUUCGUCCCUCCAGUGUCAAUGGGAACACCCUACACCUCUGAGCUGGUGUUAACCCCUGAACACCCGUCAUGUCGUUGAAACGUUCAAUAUGCACCAGUGGAUCACUUCGCCCGGAGUAUUUGAGGUCGGGGAAGCGAAAAUCUCUUGGGAUUACAAUACCCAUGAUCUCAAUUGAUAGUGGAGAUUCUUCAUCUAGCAUUAUCCUCCAGCUCGGGGGCUUUCUCUUGCCUUGUAUCUCCUCUAUCACUUGCGCUAAUCUGCGCACCUCUCCCUCCAAUUCUACAGCACGGUCAGGAUCACGCGCAGCUAUCUGAUCUCGCUCCUACUCGGCAUUUUGCAACCCCUGUCUGAGCUCUCCUUCAUCAAUACUGGCCCCUCGGCCAUCAGUUUUCGGUACCCAUCUAGGGCGAGGUUGGUCCCUCCCUUCAUCUACUCGUUCUCCUGGAACCCGACUAGUGCUUCUGUGGGGAUGCACCCCAUUAGGUUGGUCUGCCGGCGGAGGGAUUUCCUCAACUCUACGCCUCCGGAGGCUGGGUUCUGCUCCAACAUCAUCUCUUCCUACGGGGGUUUCACAAUCCUUUCUCCGCUCAUCCCUCAGCUCAUACAGUAUGGUCGCGAGAGUCUCCAUUUGUUUCUUCAUCCGCUCCAAUCGAUCUUGCAUCAUCCUCUCCCGGGCUUCAUUUGUAAUUUCCCAGAGAGUGAUUGUCUCCACAGUUUCAUUAUCCUCCCUCAAAGCAUCCUUCCUCGGCACAUCCAUGUCUAAUCGUUCGUUGCUUCUCCGGUAACUACUAAUUCAGUGGUAGCUUUUUAUCCAGCUCCCCACAGACGGCACCAAAAUGUUGAUGCUGAAAUCUGCUCGCCCUUUGCCCGACAAGAUUUUUACACCAACGUUCACGUUAUCAAUAAUAAAGAUAUCAAUUCCUUCUUGCUUCAACGAUUGCUCCAGCCACUGAAGUUGGAGUUGUCCCUCUUUUUCUCACUAAGCCUGCGUUUACAAAAGUGGAUCAGAGACGCCGGUGGUUUUGCCAGCGCAAACCCUCCGAUGCCUAAGUUACCACAAGGUGUUUACGGGAAAACGGUGCAAUUAGGGUUCAAAUAAUUGCUUAGAAUUAGCUCACUCUCGGUAUUGAAAAGCGUCUGGAUACAAUUUCGCAGAGUUUUCCCUACUUUCCUUUUUUCUUCCCUUUUCUUCAUCGAUUUCUUCUUCUUUUAUAGCCGCUGUCCCACGUUCCCAUUUAGCCUUCAUCCCUCCUUUUUCGAGUGGUGGCAGCCCCUCAUAGGACUCUAACUGCUACAUUAUGGGCAAAAGUAGGAUCUCGCGUCUCCCGCAACGGUUCUGGAAAAAGCGCAACUACCGUGAUUCUGUGGGAUCGUGUUCCCGCUUUUUCGGGGGAUGGGUAUCGGCUCGGUAUAUACCUCUGGUCAGUAUACUCCCCUGGUUGGUACUCGUCUCUAGUCUGCUCAUAUUUGUCCCCGUGUUCUGCUCGUACCAUUUGGCUGAGGUGAUCCAUGCCGGGGCGGAAAUAAUAGCAUGGCCGACCUGGUGCUUUUAUUUACUUAACACUCUACUUCCAUUCUGAUUAUCCGGGAGUAUUUCUCGAAUAAUAUCCCACACUUCAAUGCUCCACACAUCAUCAAUCACAAUCAAAUACCGCUUGGUCAUUAGAUAUUCAUGAAGAAUAAUUUUUUUCAUUUCAUAAUUUUUAUCCUUUAUUUCACUCAACCUAGAUGAAGGCAUCAGAAACUUAAUAAUGAUAUCUAAUAUUUGGUCAGCAUAGCAGGUGUAAGGCUCUUGAACCCAAGCAUGACAAUCAAAAUAAUGCUUCAUAUAGUUGCUGCUGUAAGCCUCUGCGGCGAAAGCCGUCUUGUCCAAUCCAAUGCUAUCAAGUAUGGUCACUGCGGAAAGUUGAGGUGGUCCUUCUAUCAAUAGAUCUAACAACUCCUCCAUUCUAUCAUCUAGACCCACCGUGUCCCUACUUUUAGAAGAUGAAGAUAUACCGGCUUCAGCUUCAAAAGUUUUGAUGGCAUCAAUGAUUUCGGAAUCCGUGUGCUCAAGUUGUUGCAUCCGUUGCUUAAUAUCAGUGAUUCUGCUUUGGGGUCCUUGCAGAGCAUUACAAAUGUCCUUGCUGCCGCUGCUUUGACUCUUUUGUUCACUGAUGCUGUUGAUGAAUGUGUUAAUCACCUUCUCAGAUUCAUACGUAAAGCAAUUGAUUUCAUCCAUAAUGUUCCCGAGAUCAGGGUCAUCAAUUUCAACUUCUCCUAUUUUUUGCAUCAGAAGGCAGGAGAUAUCAUCUUCAAAUUCCCUCAGCCAAGAAGUAACGAUUUCAGUCUCGGCAUGAAGGUUCUGAAUAUGUUGUUUUGCAGCAUCAAGCAACGUGACUUCUUCACCAGCUAACACCCGUCCCAGCCUCUCGGAAAAUAGCAUGAAGUUGAUGUCCAUAUCUCCUCCUCUCUCGGUACCACCCUGUAAUCAGUCCUGUAGCAUGCAAAGAAAUAGUUAAAAACAGAGAGUUGGAAAGAAACUUUGCUUUAAACCUCCCCUACCUCCGUUCUCUUAGCUAGUACUCCAUUCAAGAAAUUGAAUUGAGAUUGUUGACUCUCAAAUUAGAACAGAUCAAGGCAGAGGACUACGGUAAAUGAAUCUUACAAUACACUGUUCUCCAUAUGUUGUAAAAAGAAUAAAGCAUAAGAGAAUAAAUAGGUCUUGAUCAAGGAUCAAUCAAGACCAAUAUGUAUUAUACAUCCACUUUCAAGAAAGAAAAGGUCAAAACAAUUCCACCGGGACCAUAAGGCCUAUUUGAAAAGAAAAGAACAGAGCAAGAUCUUUAGUAAUUUAAGCUGUGGAAAAAUGCAAAAUCACGUCUACCACUUACUGGCGUGCAAAAAGUUUUAUGUAUCCACUGAAACAUUUAUUGUUGAUGAAUGAAACUGGUCUUAGGUUGACCUACACAACUCUUUCUCUCGGUACUCCAGUAGUGCAAGCAUGUUAGUUUAGUCAGUAGUUUCUCCUACACAUAAAUGAUGUUUAUUAUAGAAUUUUGAUAAUGGGUACAAUAAGAAAGUAGUUGCAAAGAAAAUAUUGGGGGUUGAUGUGAUAUCUAUUGACUUGGAGCAUAAUAAAUAAUUACAAAAUCACUAUUUGUCUUUAAUUUUCAUCAUACUCCUUAUUAAAAAAUUAUUAUGAUUACAUAGUCAGUGAUUUAUAUUCACAGAAGACAAAAGUAAUGAAUAAAUAAGCUACCACUUGCAAUUAAUAAAAUGGUAACCCUAUCUGGUAAGGUAGCCCUGUUCAUUGAAAGCAAAAGCAACAGAAUCGUUCACUGUGCUGCCACAAAAUGAUUGUCAUGGAAGGCACCAAAGUUUCCAAGUAACAGACAAAGUCGAAGUAGUUAGCACUAUGAAGCGAGGCUGAAAAUCUUGUUCCUCACGUUAAAUAAUAUUUAAUAACGACCUACUGCUAAUCAUUGUGUUUGUUAAUCUCUGCCUUAUGCCUUAGCUUUAAUAGCAUCUCCAUGUAAUCCUCCCAACCCACUACACGGGAUCAGAGUAUUAGCCAAACAUGUACAUAGAUAACUACUCUCUGUUUCAAUAACUUGUAAUCUUAUCUUAUAUCUCUUUACCGUUAUCUUGUAAUUAUCAUAUAGGCUAUGGCUUAGCUUGUAUUUAUCUUAUAGGCUAUGACUUAUCUUAUAGUGUUUGGCUUAUCAUCCAAGUAUGCUUGACUUGUAUAAAUUGUAACGUUACUCAUUGAUAAAUUAUUGAUUCAUACAAUUUCUUUACAGAGUCAGGCAAGUAUGAAGUUCAUCAAUAAUCAAAUCUCUUCUGUAAAUGAACAAAGCAUAUUGAUUGAGUGCCUAACUGUAGCAACUGGAGUGCUUAAAACCAGAGAUACCUCAGUUGCUGCCCAAUAUCACAAUCCAAUCAAUCAAGAUGCUACCAAGAAUGAACUAAUUUGAAGCUCAAUUGAAAAUGGAAUUGAAACAAGAUAAUGAUGAAAGAACAAAAAGCAAUUAAGAUCAAAUUGAAUUAAAGAAUUGAAAGAACCAACAGAGGAAAAAUCAAUUCAACGUGGUUCAACUAAUUUGCAUUAGCUUGCAUCCAUGGGAGGAAAUUUUUGAUCAGUUUUUAUAGAAAAUACAUUAAUCCCACUUAAUCCAAGACUAGAAAGCAUCACAAACAUUCUUUAUUUUUAUACACAGUCAACUCUCUGCUGAAAUGAAAUCUCUUACUUAAUGAGUACACAGCUGAAACAAAGACAACUGGAAUUACUUUUCAAAUUUGAUACACUGCUAAUAAUAAUGACAAUAUUAAAAUGUGGCAUGUGUUGAUUCUGCUGCCUCAAAGCUUCACUUGAGCUAGCCCUUAAUCUACUGAUUCACCUCACACGAUUUUUGUAACUUGAUCUAAGAAUCAAGUAUGAGUUUGAUAAAUUUCAUGAGAUAGAUAGCAUAAAUUUCAAAGUCGUUAGUUAAUUUGUUAUGAGAUAUCAUAUCACAAACAUAUUUUAUUAGUUUAAAUGAAGCUUAAUAAUUAUUCAACGAGGAUUUAAUUAGUUAAUUGUUUAAAUUUAUUCUUAAUGGAAUGCUAACAAACCAAAUUAAAUUUCUACAUUUAUUUAAUUAUAUACAUGCAUAUCUUGAUAACUAUUUUAACGUGUGAUCCAAUAUAGAACAUAAUUUAAUCUUGAAUUUUGCUCUGAAUAUUUUUAUAGUUGAUUUGUUAUAAAUUUGAACGAGGGAUUGCAAUUACUUGCUCUUUUAUAAAUAUUUUUAUACCGUAGGCAAUAGUUAUAAAGAUUGAUUAUUGAUGAACUUCACACUUGCACACAAAAUUCUAUUAUUGAAAGUCGAUGCUUACUAUAACACGGCGUUUUUCUAGCUUUUACUAGACGUGGUUUCAAUUUAUUGAACCAUUAGAGGGACACAUCAGUAGUCACAAAAGUGCCCCUGUAAAUGGCAAUCCUUGUAAUCAUUUUGCUGCCGCUCUUCAUUCCACUCCCAAGUACGCAGCCCAAACUUCAACUUUCUUUGGGAAGGUAAUGAAGCGUGACUUUGUCUCAGUAAUCUGUCUUUCAUAUUCCAUUGAAUGAGCCAAAGGAGGGAUGCUUCUAUAAUUAGUAGCAACUAUCAAUCAUAUUGAAGGAAUUUCUGCAACAGAUAAAGAAAGAAUAUCAGAGAACAAAGCUGUUAAUCAAUCAACACAUGUACAGCAGUAUUAGUAUUUCUGCCUCAUUGUAUUGCCUAAGCGGGUAUUAGGAUUUCUCCACAAGAACGUUUACUAAGACAUUCAGCCAAGUGUGAAGUUCAUCAAUAAUUAAUCUUUUCUGGAAAUAAACGGAACCUAUUGAGUGUCAGACUUGCCCAUCCUUUGAAACAGGAUUUCAGAGCAAGCAACAGAACAAAGACAGAAAAUACAUUCAACUCAACCCAAACACUAGCAAGCAUCACAAAUAGUAAUUAUUUUUUGUACACAAUUAACGAAACCAUGGCCGAAGCACAAAUCAAUGAACUAUCAACUGAAAAGCCAAAACAAAACUUCUUAUUUAUGAAUAGACAGCGGAAACAAAGAAACCAAAAAAAGUCCACCACCGUAGGAUCAGGACUUAUUUGUGUAGACAGCAAAUGUGAAGACGGAAAGGUUCUGGUUGAAAUUGAAGCUCGGGCUACAGUCAUGAUGUUUUCUUGUCAUGACCCAACCCGUCUUGCCAAUUAAGGUGUGGAUCACCCCUUAUAAACCCAACAUCGCUCCCGUGCUUUGCCGAUGUGGGAUUUGCCUAGGGUGUUACAUACACCUCCCCUUGGGGACUCAGCGUCCUCGCUGAGGUUUGCCCCACCAUCGCUUGAGAGGACAUGCGGAGCCGCUUUGAUACCAUAAUGUCAAGACCCAACCCAGACCUGGCAAGAUAUUGUCCGCUUUGGGCCUUAACAAGGCCUGCACAGAUUUGUUCUUGGGGCGCUCACACACCCCAAAACGCGUCUUGCCAAUUAAUGUGUGGAUCACCCCUUAUAAACCCAGUAUCUCUCCCGUGCUUUGUCGAUGUGGGAUUCGCCUAGGGUGUUACAUACACACCCCCUUGGGGACUCAGCGUCCUCGCCGAGGUUUGCCCCACCAUCGCUCAAGAGUACACGUGGAGCCGCUCUGAUACCAUAAUGUCAAGACCCAACCCAGACCUGGCAAGAUAUUGUCCGCUUUGGGACAAGUGGACACGCGAAGCCACUCUGAUACCAUAAUGUCAAGACCCAACCCAGACAUGGCAAGAUAUUGUUCGCUUUGGGCCUUAACAAGGCCCGCACGGAUUUGUUCUUGGGGUGUAUGGGCGUAAAGCGGACAAUAUCUUGCCAGGUCUGGGUUGGGUCUUGACAUUUUUGCUCUAAUUUCACCUACACAAGUCAUUGAAGAAAUUGUGAAAAAUAAGAAAUCUAAAUUUUUUUUUCUUAACUACUAAAACAAAUGAACAUCGAUGUAUUGAAGAGGGUUGAUGAUUGGGGUGAGCAUUAGAAACUCUAAAGGGUAUUUAAUGUUGAGGCAAAUUAGAAGAAAACAAUUUGUAUAACCAUUUUUGUAUUGAAGAAAAGGGGAAAAAAUAUAUGAAAUUGGAUAAAUAAUUAAAAUUUGAAGAAAUUGUGUAAAAUGAGAAACAUACAUCAAGUUCAAUAGGGGCUAAUCAAAUUCCGUAAGGAUAGCCACUCGGCCAAAGGCCGAGUGGUUAGAGUUGCUGCCCUCCAAGUUGGAGGGCAGCAGUUCGAACCCCCACAAAUGCAUUGUGGGGGUAUUUCCUUCCUUCAUUAAAAAUUGAGUGAAGGUAGUCUUCCUUCUUACCCAAGAGUGAGGAGUAGACAUUCCUCGAAUAUUUGUGAGGGUUAAAAUUUGGGUAGAGCUCCAUUAGCAUUGAUGUAAGUUGGUCCCAGUAAUAGUCUGAUUUAUAAAUAUCAGUUAUAACCUCAUGUAAUAUGAGUUGUAGUUUGAGCAAUAGUCUCAUGUAAUAAAAAAAAAUUCCAUAAGGAUAUAGUUGAAUGCCACACUGUUCCUUAUCCUCAAAUUCCCGUAGCUUUUGUCUCAGCUCUGGUUGAGGCCACCAGCAAUCGAACUUGUUUAAGCUCUUUAUGCACCAGAGAUGUUCAGGCAUCUUUUUCAAGUAAGCACAAGGGUUGAUAAUCAAGCAUUCUAGUUUUGGCAUGGCUGCAUUCCCCAUAGUCCAGAAGUCAGCUUUCUGUAUGAAUACGAGUUUUGCUUCAGUUUGAGCACUUGAAGAAGCGGCAACGUUUCUAGCACCGGCAUGGGAUCAUCCAUUCGGUCAGUAUUAGAAAAACUCAAGUGGGUUAGACUAUGAGGAAAUAGGUAUUCAGCAAGGACGAUUUUGGAGAGCCAUGGCAUCUUGCUUUCAUUCGCCAGCUUCAAUGACUUGAGACAGCUCAAUCUGCAGAGACUUUGAGACAGCAAAGAUUGAUCAUAACUUAAAUCUCCCCGCAUUCAGAGAUUUUGAAGAUUAAGUAGCCUGCCUAAUAUAUCUUCAAUACAGCAGCAAAUGUGCAAGGCUGAAAUGAAAUUUAGAUUUUCCAGAGAGCCACAGUAUUUUCCUGGAUGCGCAGGAAGUGUGAUUGACCCAAAAUUUAGAUGUCUGAGUUUUUUCAUCUUCCAAAAUUCAUCUACCGUAUGAUCUAUAUAGCUAAAGGGCAUGUCUAGGGUGUAGAGGUUCAGAAGAUUGCUUAAUAAUGAGGAAGACAGGCUUUUGAGGGAAGGGAUAUUCAACUUCAAAUAUCUCAAAAGAAAUAAAUUUUCAAUUCCGGAUGGAUACUAGAUGAGAACAAGAGAUUCCAAGUCCAACACUCUGAGAAGUUUGAACAUUCCACAAAUUUUCUCCCAAUCUAUGGGGUCAAUGUGGCGGCUUUCUGGAGAGCAGCACAAGAAAGAAUGCAGUUGCGAGUCAUAAUCAUCUAAGCAAGCAAAAUCAC
This 66974-nucleotide long non-coding RNA is filed under the name Citrus sinensis (sweet orange). Its description in RNAcentral is "long non-coding RNA (CSIN_LNC000104)". Lineage: Eukaryota; Viridiplantae; Streptophyta; Magnoliopsida; Sapindales; Rutaceae. The record is from RNAcentral.